AUCCUUACAUGAAUCCAACAGUUUAGUAAACAUUUGCAACAAAUAAGUGAUUCCGAGAACGUUGCUCAGCAUGCAAGAAGUUGAAUCUUGAUCUUCUGUAGCAUCCUUACAUCAUCUUUCAUGUUUGUCCUUGUUGGAGAUUCAACACAGCAAUCUAGCGCAACUUCAAUACUAUAUUUGUAUCGAUUCGGGUUAAAUGGGGCGGAUCAUUAAAUGGUUAAAAUGGAUACAUAUUUGAUUUUUAAAAUUUUGGUUAAAAGUUAAAAUUCCAUGUCAGUAAAUUUUAAUGAAAAAACAAUAAAUAGAUUGAGUGACUUUAUGUGCAAAGAAGUCAUAGUUGAGUGACUUUUGAGUUGAAAAUGAAAGUUGAGUGAGUUUUUGUGAAAAGAAUUGAUAAUUGAGUGACUAUCAAAGUUAUUAGCUCUAGCAAUUUUUAUUUUUAAUUUUCGUAGUAUUUUUUCCAUUGUUUUGUUUCCUAGCUUCACAUUCUUUUCCAAUAUUUUUUCUUUUUAAGGAUACCAUUUGAAAUUUAAGGAAAGGAUAUGAUAUUGUAUAUCUAAUUGUGCAUCAAAAUAUAAAUUGAAAGGCAUUACAAAAUUCAACAAGAACUUUGUUGGAGAAGUGUUAUAGCUUGGGAGUGAACAAAAGAUGAAAGCCAGACUAAGCAAACUACGAAAUUCCAAUAACAUGCUCAACGUGCAAGAAGUUGAAUCAUGAUCUUUUGUAGCAUCCCAACAACAUCUUUCAUGUUUAUCCUUCUUGCCGGAGAUUCAACACAACAAUCUAAUGCCACUUUCAUGAUUGAUGGAACAACAACUAGCUUCUUCUGUAAACGAUUAUCCAAUGGUGUUACCAAGUUGACAUCUAUAACAUCCAUUACUGCGCCUCUGGGAGUGAAUAAAUCACCCAUUGCUUCAAGUUAAGAUCUCCCUCAAAAUCACUAGGCUUUCUCCUAGUAAAUGUUUCCAGCAACAUAAUCCCUGUAACUAUAGGCAUCGCAUUUUACUGAUGCAGUAUACUUUCUUGAUUGAAAAAAAAAAUGAAAAAUCAAUGUUCAAAUUCGCAAAAACAAAGAGACAUACCCGGUGCAAUAUAACCAAAUGUUGCUAAGGUUUUAGUGUAUAAAUCACUCUCAUCUUCACUAAGUAGUUUUGAAAUACCAAAGUCGCUUAGGUGGGCAACCAUAUCCUCAUCCAGCAAAACGUUACUAGGCUUUAGAUCACAGUGAAUCAUGGGCAAGGAGCAUCCAUAAUGGAGAUAUUCCAAUGCACAUGCCACAUCUAUCAUAAUGCUUAGUGUCUGCCUGAUGUCUAGGAAGUAGUUGUGCGAAUACAAAUACUUCUCAAGACUUUCAUCAGGCAUAUACUUGAGCACUAAAGCCUUAAAAUCAAGGUUGGAGCAACUAGUGAUGACUUUCACGAGAUUCCUAUGCUGAAGGUUGCGCAAAACUUCACAUUCUGUAUCAAAACUCUUGAAUGCCGCUUCAACUUGCAGAUUGAACACUUUAACUGCAAUGGAAGUCCCACUUCUGAGAACACCUUUGUAAACAGAGCCAAAACUUUCAGAACCAAUCAGAUUACUCUCGCUAACCAAACACAAUUUUUCAAGAUUUAAUUUUUCUCCGAUCCCACGGAAUCACUUUUAUAGUAGGAGGUUUGGGUCCUUUCUUUUGCUUCUAACCCUAAGAAGUUUCAACAUGCUAAUGUUGGCUGACUAGUAUUUUAAAUGAUCACAAUAUAUAGUACAAUUCAAAUCAGGCGUAUUUAGGAGGGGGUCACCGGGUUUACGUGAAGGGGUCACCAGGUUUACGUAAACCCAUGCUUCCCUCGUGAAAUUAUAUAUAGUAGUGUUAUAUUUUUUUAAUAAAUAUUUAAAUAUAGAUGUGUGAACCCACAUUUGAAGUAUAAUAUAAUGUUUUUCUUUCUAAAAUUGGAUAACGUCUCUGAUAUAAUUGGUUUGGAUUGAUAAAAAAUAAUUGUGUACCUAUAAUUUUAAAAUGGGAAAAAGGGUAAAAAAUGCCCUUAAACUAUGUGAAAGGAAUAAAAAUGUCAUCUGUUUAUAGUUUGGCUCAAAAAUACCCUUAUUGUCAAUACCUUGGCUCAAAAAUGCCCUUCCAGUCAAUACUUUGGUCCAGAAAUGCCCCUAUAGUUGCAAAUUGGGUAAAAAAUGCCCUUUUCCGAAUAAAUAGUAUUAUUAUUUUCUUUUUAAAUACAUCUCCUUCCUAAUUAAAAUAUUAUUAAAGAACACUAUUCUUGUUUUCUUUCUUCUAAAAUUAGUUUAACAAAUAAAAAUGUUGGAAAUAUUUCUUUUUCUUCUUAAUCUCACUUUAUCAAUUCAAAUAGAAUAACUUCAUGUACCCUUUCGACAUAUAAUAUAUGUCAUAUAUAUAUAUAAGAUCAUAGUAUAUGCAUCAUUAAUUUAUAUUUAUAUAAUGAUAAAAAAAUAAUGAUAAUAAAAUAAGAAAUAAUUUCAUUUUUUUUAAUUGAAGUAUGAUAAACAUUUGAUAAUUUGGAAAAAGAGCAUUUUUGACCCAUUAAAUAACAAUGAGGACAUUUUUGGAUAAAAUAUUGACGGCAAGAGCAUUUUUCGACCAAACUACAAAUGGAGGGCAUUUUUGUUCCUUUCGCAUAGUUUAAGGGCAUUUUUGAACCAAAGUAUUGAUGGUAAGGAUAUUUUUGAGCCAAACUAUAAACGGAGGUCAUUUUUGUUCCUUUCACAUAGUUUAAUUUUUGACCCUUUUCCCUUUUAAAUUUUUAAAGGUUUUCAGUGAUAAUAACAUAAAUGUUAAACCAAUCAAAUUUAUAUCUUAGAUCCACCUUUUCGUAAUAAUGCACCCAUGAUCUCAAAAUUCUGGAUACGCCUCUGUUGACAGCUCCGACCCUUAAUCAUGCACAAAACUAUUGACCAAUUUAAGUCAUCACAAUAAUCCUUUUCAUUUUCAUUUUCAUUUUGGUAAGACAAUAUUCUUUUCAUUUUCUUUUUUGGUAAAAUAUUUAUCUUUUUUCAUUUUUUGGUAAGACUAUCUUCUUUUCAUUAUACUUCUAAUAAUCUGGUCCAUCCUGACUUUAAUAAAUUAUUUUCCAUAAAUAGUAAAUCAUGAUACCUAUAAAUACAUAUCCCUCCAUACACAACAAAAUACACAUUUUUCUAUCAACUUUCUUCUUCUCUACUUCUUAAUUAACAUAUUAUUAUUCAAAUUCUCAUGGCCAAUAUGGUUCAUAAACUUUAAUCUCCAUUGUUAUGAUAUUUUUCAUAUUAAUGUCUACAAAUGAAACCUUUUCAGCAAGAACUCAUGGUACAAAAAUAUUUUCAAUUGAAAAAAACAAUUGGAAAAUUAGCAGCAGCAGUAUUGAUAAUAAUCGUCGUGUUCUGAAAAGUUCCAUUCCACCAUCCGGGCCGGGUCACAAGGGUCACAUGUCAACUCCACCACCUCUAGGCCAAAUGUUAUAACCUAUCGAUUGAAAUUGAAAUUUUCCUUGAAAGCUAAAGGCGGAAUUUAUAUUUAUAUCCAUUGAAAGAUUUAAUUUUGAUUUGUUGCGAUUAAUAAAACAAUAUUUCAUAUUAGUAAAAUUGGGAUUAAUAAACCAGUAUUUCAGAUUAGUAAUAUUGUGUUCAAGUUUCCUUUUGAAUUUUUAUUUCAUGAAUUGAUUGAUCUUCUAAAGAUAUAAUCUUUUUUUUUUCUUUUCAUGAAGUUAAAAAAAAGGAGAAAUUUAUUUUAUGAACCGUACAACAUGUCUAAUAAAAAAAAAGCGAUGUUCAUCGUAUUGAUAUACCAUAUCGACUAGUAAUGUAUUGAACUAGAUACAAUUUUUCAAGAUUUAAUUUUUCUCCGGUCCUAGGGAAUCACUUUUAUAGUAGGAGGUUUAGGUUAUUUCUUUUGCUUCUAACCCUAAAAAGUUUCAACAUGCUAAAUUUUUUUAUUUCGUUGGCUGACUAGUCUUUCUCCUAUUAAGAUAGAAACCCGAAGAAGAAUGUCAAAAAAGUUGUGUAAAUCCAAUUUGAUGAAAAUGAAAUAAUGUGAUUUAACAAGACAAUCAAAAACAUUGAAAGAAGGAAUAUAAAUCUGUUUCCUGAAUCAACAAAACAAAUUGAUUGAUAAAUACAUUUCCAAUAAAGAAAUAAAUUAUGAAAAUCUCAUAUUAAUAAUAAUGGUAAAAUCACUUUGUUUUGACUCAACUGAAGACUUGAUUAUUAGUAUAUCUAUUUCAGAAGCUUCUAGAGACCGCCGCUCUAGUCCAGCAUGGCGGUUCAAUAGAAAAACUUUUGUCAAUGAAUUAAACAACAUAGAAGUAUAAAAAAAACUGUAGAUUACAAACUCAAAUAUGUAGAAGUAAAACAAUUCCAUCACUCUCCAACUAUACAUUUUUAUUGAUCUCGUGUGCAAUUCUAACCUAAUCUAGUUAAUAUUUUGUAACGGACCCACGAGGUGCUAGUUUUAAACUCGAAGGAGGUUUUGUUUUGAAAUUCGCCUAUGGCAAAUUACUUCACAUCAGAAUGGGAGCAAAAAGUUAAGGAUUCUAUAACAGCGAGUUGAGGAUUAAACUAUAUAUUGAGAUGUCUUUUAGGUUAAAAUUACUUAAGGAAGCAAAAUUGUGAGGUCCACAAAAGUUGAACUUGCUUAGAGAAAUCGAACUAUAGCCGACAAUACCUUGACAUUAACAAAUCUCAUGUCAAAGUAGGGGCAAAAAUAAAGUUAGAACACUACACCAUUUUAGGCCUAGGGCCACACUAAUUCUGGACAACGCUUGUAAAGUGUUGCCUAAAAUAUUUUUGGGGACGCUUUCAAAGCGUAGCCCAAGUUUUUAACUUUUAGCUACACUUUAUAUUGGCAACAUUUAAAAAGUGUACUCUUUAAUGGUAUAAGCUACACUUUAUAAGUGUUGUUACAAUAUGAUAUAAUUAACAACAGCUAUUAACAUAUAUGGCUACACUUUUAAAGUGUCCUAUUUUAAUAAUUGUAAAAACAACACAUUAAAAGUGUGGCCUUAAAAUUUUCACUAAAAUUUUCCCUCCAACAUUAUUUUAAGUCUCCCUCCCAUUUUUAUUGGCCAAGAAAAAUAAUUCAUAAAACAUUAAUUUUAAGAAAAUACAUAAUACAUAUGUGAGAAAAACACGCGUGAGUUCUCUCUUUCUCGGAAUAACGUCUGAGCUAAAGAGUUGAAGAACUGAUCUGAAGAACUGAAGUCAAAGAACUGAUUUCGUCAAGCGUGUGUUCGAUUCUCUUCUCCGAUAACAAUUUCGUCAAGCGUGAGUUCGAUUCACUAUUCCAUAAGUACUAAAUAGUCUUCUUGUUAUUGAUUGAUUUUUUGUUUUGUGUUUAGAAGAGGAGAAUAAGAAGGAAUUGAUAAUUUUGGGGUUGUUGGCUAAGAACACGAUUUCAGACAGAACUGAAGCUAGGAACACGAUUUCAGACCGAACUGAAGAGCUCAACAGCUAAAGAUAUUCUCGCUGAAGGACACGAUUUACAUCAUAGUUCUCGCUGAAAAUAGGAUUUUGUUGGAAUAGGGUUUAUCAGGUAACAAAUUCUAUCUUUGAAAAGUCUAAAUUUUAGCUUUAGGGUUUUGAUAUGCUUGUGUUUUUUGUACAAUUUUUGGGAGUAUAGCUCAUAUUUUAGCUUCAUCAGUUGAUUUUUGAUGAUCAAGAUCUCAAAAAAUCUUUGCUUGAUUGAGACCUUUGGACUCGACUCAAUCUGUUCAUCGCGUCCUUGUUGUUGUACUUAUUAGUUUGAUUUCUUCUAGCAUUUGGCAAUGGAGGUAUAUUUUUGAUGUUCGUAGUGGAAUUAUGAUGAGAUUCAGUAAUUCUCGGAGAACUCUGAGGACUCUGAGGUUUUUCAGUUGGCUUUGAAGUACUUGAAGAUGUGCUUGUAGUAGUUGUAGUAGUAAUAGUAGUACUGCUACUUCCUGGCUCUAGUAGUUUAAAGACUGUUGAAAGUCUACUCUUUAUUGGCUCCUGCAACAUACAAUUCUUGGCUUUGAAGUACAUGAUCUUAGUGUUUGAUAGGAGCAAAAACUGAGAAAUGUACCUCAUUAGAGCUAACGUUGUCUUGUUUAGUAUCAUCUUCGUCUAUUACUUUCUUUUUGCGUUCCUUUUGUGAUUGAGAGCGUUGUCGAGUCUUGUGCCUGCAUGAAAGGGAAACAAAAUAACGUGAACAUGAAUGUCGAAUCACUUCAAUAGAGACUUAAGUGUGGGUUUAGAUGAUUUAGGCAAUGUAACAGGACAUGAAACUUUAUUGGCAAAGUCAUUAUUAUUGUUUUGUUAGUGUAGUGUGUUUUGCUGCAAUUUUGUAUUUUUCUUCUUGUUCUCCAAAAACAAGGCAGCCUUUGGGGUAUCCGAUGGGAGUUUGGAAAACAUUAUCAGUGAAAACAAAUGAAGAACUUAGCAUAACAAAUUAAACUAAGCUCAAGCUUGACAUAUUCUUCGAAAAUGGACUUGGGACCUAAUUCAAAUGCAAAAGCUAACUUUUGAGGUGCGGAUUGUCCAAGAUCAUAUGAAGAUGAUUUAACAACACUAAAACAGAAUUCAGACGUUUCAAGAAAACAAUAUUGGACGUAUAGACGAGUUCACUUACCUUCUCUUCUCAAGCUUUAAUGCUACCACAUGAUCCUCCUUAUAGACUACAGGCAGUUCCGAGAGUUCACAUGCCAACAGGCUUGUACUAAAGAACUGUAUUGAAACAUUUUCCGAAAUCAAGUGACAAAUUUCUCUGCUUGUCUUAGUUUAUUCUUAUUUGUUGGGAUUCUGUGAUAGUGUUUUAUGUUAGACGUCACGUUCUUCAUUCGUGCACCUCAAGUUGGAUGAGUGGAUCAAGACGUCAAGGUUUUAGAUUUCAUCUUGUAUCUCUAGUGCUUUCAUUUUAAAUCUUAUACUUGUGAGGAUCGAUUUUGUCCAGUUUUCUUUUGUUCCGCUUUCUCUUUUAUGUUUACUAUGUCUUUUAAGUUCUCUUUAACAGUUGGUUUUCAUAGGUUUGUUAAAUUUUUUUCAAAUAAAUGCAGAAUGAUGUAUCGAGUUCUUUCCCUGUUGUGGUUGCUUCAUUAACUCUGUUUUCGAAUCCCUUUGCAUCGUGUUAUAUAUGUGUUAGCUUCUAUUUUUUUUCUUUCAAUUUGAUCAUGAGUUGAGGAAACAUGUGUGAGUCAAUUUGUUGCAGCUUCUGAUUGUUUAAAUACCUUUGAGAUAGCAGGUCCUUUAGUGAGAAAAUGAGUCUGUUCAUUUGGUUUAUGAAGAAGUGCAGUAAUCUUGAUCUUAUUUGAAACUCAUUGUAUUCAUCAAGUUAGUUCUUUUGCUACCGUAGUAAAAAUAAUCAAUGCUUGUAUUUGUGAGCAAAUCGAUUUGUUCCUCUCUUUGUUAAAACUGGUGGUGUAAAUCGAAUGCAGGUAAUGGUAAAAAAAUGUGUUUAUUACGCUAAAAAUGAUCUCAUAUCUUUGUUCUUCAUUAGUAUAUAUGACACACUUUCCUGCUAAGAAAAUGCAACUGCUUCUUCCAAUUCAUGCAAGAAUGAAUUUUCAUACUAUAAUUAUAAGCUUUUACAUUGGUGAUAUAUAAACAUCAAUGACUGUGUUUUUAUUUGAGUAGAAAGACUGAGGAGCUUGAAUUGAAGAAGACGCAACAAGAAACCAAAGCUAUUGAAACUUCAAGGAAAGUUAUUCCAUCAAUGGUAUUUAUUUUCGAAAGCCAAAAGUUUGUCAUUUGAGUGGUUUACAAAUUAAUACUUAACCCUUUUGGUAAUUAUACUUCAUGUUAUGUUUAAGUGGCAGGAAAUGUGCAAGAAACAAUUAAUGAUAGCCAAUUCAGAUUUCAUGGAAAAUAUGGAGGUAUUCUAAUUAAUCAACCUAUAUGUAUGUUAUUGCCUUGCAUGUGGAAUUAGAUGCAACUCACACUUCCAUAAUUUCAUAUUAUGCUGUAACUCACAUUUGAGAUACACAACUCAAUCAUUUCUGAUGUCUCUAAUGUAAUCCAUCAAAAAUGCACUAUUUCCCCUCUAUAGUUCUCUGAGUUUUUAUUUCUAGCUAGUUAGGGUGAAGGGGAAAGGGAGAGGUGGGGCUGAAUUAUGUUUCAUUAGUGAGGAAGUAGAGAGAUUCAUGGUACUGUAAGAUAUGCAUGUUACCGUAGGAGUCGUGAUAUUUUUAGUACUAGUAAUUUCUGUCGACUGUUAAAUGUUAAUUGGGUGAUGAAUACAGAAAAAGUUUCUGAACAUUGUGUCUAAAAUGGAAGAAAAAGAUAACGUGAUCACAACAUUUAUGUUGUUGGCUAAACAAUUUGCUGAAGUUAAGAGAAAGGAAAUGGAACAAGGAAGUGAGAAACAGGGAGUACAAGCAGUAGAUGUAGCAAUGGAGAGAUCAAAUGAUCAAGGCAAGGAGCUAACAAUAAUUAAAUUAAAAAUUUGGUCCAAACACCACCCUCAGUCUCUUCUUCUACUGCCAUAGCUCCUCUUUCAUUGCUGCCUUACACUAAUAAUUUUCAUAACAACAACCUAGCAUUCCCUGUCAAGCCUGUCCCUGAAAGACGAAUAGUCACUGUUACUGUCUCCACCAUAUCUGGUGAAACAUGCUAUGAAGCUGGGAUAACAUGAUGAACUACUCAACUGGAAACAAGACAACAACUCUCAUCAACAUAAAUGAUGUCCCUCGUAACGUUGGUGAAGGAUUUCUCCAUGCCCGAACAUCAAGACAAACUAUAACCACAACAACUACCGUCACACCUCAUGUGAGUAUCAUGCAUCCUAUCUCCAUAUAUGUCUCAGUCUGCACUCAAUCUAAUUGAAUAUUUAUGUUCUUGAUAAUUGAAUGCCACUUUAAUUCUUUGUGUGUAUGUUACUCAAGAUGAGUAAAGCACAACAAGUUUUAGGUGAUAACAGGGAUAGCAAAGUUAGCAUCAGCAGGAAGGAGUACAAUCAUCAACAAGCAAGCAAAUAUUGUUCUUCUUAAGAAAUUUUUGUUUAACAGGUAACACUAUGCUCCACUUUCAAGUUCCAUACACAAUUUAUACCAACUAAAACCCCUGAGGACAGUGGAACAUUUAACACGACUGAAAUUUCAUUAACUACAUCUAAUAAAACACGAGAAAGAUGCCAAUCCAGUCCAUCUGAGUGUUUUUCGACUUUUUUUAACUAUUUAAUGUGUAACUGAAAGCUGCAAUCUGGAAUUAAUCUAGAUCUGGAACUGUAAUCUGCAAUCUGCAAUUUGACUGGUUAUUUAAACAAGUUUUUAGGAUUUGUUCUACCUAGGCACUAUAAACUGGUUAGUUUACUUAUUGGACGAGUAUCAUAUAAUUUUUAAAACGACUAAUAGUAGUUGACUGAGAGGACAAUGGUGUUUUAAUUCGGUUUUGAUUGAUUGUAUGUUUACAAGAAGUUUACAGAAUAUAAUGUGUCGAGCAACAUCUUUGCAAGGAGUCUUCUCUCGGCAUCACACAUACUCAUCUUUCCCCAUUCUUUCUUGCAGAACUGCCUGAUCGCACUAGUGCCUUGUAGCUACCAGUGACUAAGGAUAGCAAGUCCAAAGAAGAGAAUCACAAACUGCUGAAUGGAAAUUCGGGAGAUCCAGCAGAAUGGGUAUAGAGGUUUAUGCAUUUUCCAUCCUAGGGAUUAUAGCUUUUCUGUCACUAUUGUAUAAGUUUGAAUACAUUAUAUUUGAUUUUGUGAAAUAUAUUCAUUGCUAGAAUAUAUUGAACCAUUGUAAGAGUAUUUUUUGAACUAUUGUGUAAACAUAUUUAGAAUAUUGCUUUAUAAGUAUGUGUAUGUACACAAGACAUGGUAUCAUUUGAUGUUUAUUGCAAAUAUAUAUAUUUGAAUUACUUAUUAGCUAAUUUAAUGCUUGAGAUUAUUUAUUGCAAAACAAUAUUGGUGUUUUUUAAUUAGAAAUUGUGGCAUAUAAAUAUUUUAUAGCCUAAAUAAUAUUACCACACUUAAAAGUGUAGCCAAAGGAUUGUAAAUUGUUGAAUGCAGACGGGCAAGGACUACACUUCAAAGUGUUGUCAUACAUAAGAUAGAAAAGGCAACACUUUAAAAUUGUGGGCAAUAAGGAAGCAAAGGCCACGCUUGAAAGUGUAGUUGUAUGAGAUAGAAAUGUUGCUAUAUGAGGUACUGGAAAGCGUGGCCUUUUUGCCUUUUAGGCUACGCUUUUAAGUGUAGCUGAUAAGGCGACACUUCAAAAGUGUUGCCUAAACUCUAAGGUUACGCUCCCUUUGGGCACCCCUGGAAAAGUGUUGCUUAAAGUCCAAAAGUGUGGCCUUUUAUCAAAGGCCACACUUUUUCAUAGUUUAGGCCACACUUUUCUAGGGUGGCUGUAGGCCUAAAAUGUUGUAGUGGAAGGUAUAUAAGUGUGAGUGUUCAGAAUUAAAAUAUCAAGACAUUUUUUUUUGAGUUAAAAUUCAAGGGAGCAAAAUCUUGAGAUCCAAAAUUUUUGUGAUGACUCAAAGUUGAUCGAGUCAAAGCGGAUAAUACCUUGACUUUUGGGUUUGGACUAGUGACAAUUCCUAAUGAAUUGAAAUGUAACAAAAAAUGCAAAAAGGAAACCAAAAAGAACAACAAAAGCAUACCAGUAUAUAUAUAGUCCCACGAAUGGGGUCUGAAAAGGGUGAAAUCGCGACGAUAUGCAAAUUAAAGAAGAGAGAUUAAUGGCCUACUCCUGGGCUAGGAACAGACGUGAGAAUUCUAUUAAUAGUGUGUAAGUGACCCCUCUUGCUAGGUGUGGAAUUUGGGAUUGUGCCCUUAGGAAGGGAAAUUUGAUACAGUAAUCUCAUGUCCUCUAAAUUGGGAUUUUUCUUCAAUUCAUGCAAGUUUAAUACUAACUUUCUAUUGGCUUGUGUUGUGGAUGUAAUAAAAAGGGACAAAUAUCAAUAAUAAGAACAUGAAGAGGAAAUUAGUAGUACUAGAAGCUUUUGAAAAAUACAUUGUUGUAUGUGAUAUUUGGUUUUGUCAAGAAGGUGGUAGAAAGGGUGUGCUAUAAAGACUGUUUUCUAUGAUUUCUUGGUGCUAAAAAGGAGAAAGAAGAAAAAUGAGUAGUAGUAGGAGGAGGAGGAAAGGUGUAAAGGGGGACUAGUUUGGCCAGUGUUGAUUGAUUAUAAAUGUAUAUGAUUGUGAUGCUCAUGACAGAAGGUGGGCCAGCGAGAGUUGAUUAAAGAAAAAGACUUAUUAACUUGCAAGCUUCUAAAAAAUGGGUGCAUAUCACACACCUUAGUCGAAUCUCAUAUCAAAGUGAAAGAGAAAAUUAAAGUUACAAGCUUUAUAAAGCAUAACAUAAGUUCACAUGAUAUGCACACUUUUUUAGGCUUGAUGAUGGCAAUAACCCAAAGUAAAAAAUUGUGAGCUCUAUGGAGAAUUGAUAAUAAGGUUUUGGAUUUGAACUUUGUGAUCACAUAAUUUUUUCUGUUAGAGAGUAUUUUAUCUUUUUUUUUAAUCGGCAUAUUAGGUGUGAAUUCAGAUUAAACCUCGUGAGUUUCAGAUAUCAAAUGAUUUUUUUAAUAAAAGAAAAGGGUAAUAAAAGCAAGCGUGAUGGCUACGGAGAAGAGGAUUCAAGUUAGUUGGGCUACCUCAAAUUCCAAUGUUUUGGAAAUAGUUGCCUUCUUUAAUUUUAAUUUAAUGGACAAAAACACAUCUGAAUUAAGGUCCCUCUGAAUUAAUAUUAUUUUUUAGCGAGUUUUAUUUCUUAAUUAUCAGAUGUUUUUUUAAAUCUGAACUAUUACCAUCUAAGUAUUAAAACAUACCUCGAAUAUAACUGGAUCAACUAUCAAUUAUUCCAUUUUUCAAUCUGAAUUAUCACAAUCUACUCGAUUAGGGUGGUAUCUUUCACCAUCUAUUCAACGAAAGGCGGAAAAAAAAAAGUCUUACAAUUUAUUUUUAAUUUUUUUGGAAAAAGGAAUUAAAAGUCAACCACAGACGUUAAAUAAAGAAACUAUUAUCUUUUCAAAUAUUAAAAACAAGAAUGACAUGAAAGAUUAAAUACUCAUAUUGAAAUAGAAAAUAUAUACAAUAUAAUUGAAGAUAGUUGUCACGUUAAGUGACAAUCCAUAUGGCUUUAUAAUUAUUUUGUGUUGUUUUAUUUAAUUAAAUUCUCAUAUUCCAUAGACCAUUUUGACAGUCCAUUUAUAACAAUUUUAUCAUACUGUUGAUUAUUAUCUUAUACGUUUUCUAAUUUUGUCUUUUUAGGCGACAAGGAAGACAAAGAAUAACAACUUGUACCAUCUUUUUAGGUUUUAUUGUUGUCUAACAUCUGCAUUGAAAUUAUGACUAAUUAAUUUGAGUUCACGUCCGGCAAGACCUAAAUAAGAGGGGAAAAAAAUACUUUCUUUUAUGAUUUUUUUCAUUUUUGGGACUCAAACUCAAGAUCGAUUAAGGGUGAGGUGAUGUCGAGUUUUUAAAUAAUAUAUAGUAUAUAUAGUCUACACCUAAUAUCAUAAAUCGGCCUAGGAUUGUUGUGACAAGUACAAUAUUUGAACAAUUAUAAGAACUCCAUCCUCAUUCUAGAUUCAAAACCAAGACAUCUGAUUAAGGAAGAGUGACACAAUGUUGAGCGUUUACAUCAUGUGUAGUAUAGUGUACGUCUAAUAAUCAUAAAUUGGUCUAGAAUUGUUGUGACAAAGCACAUUAUUUGGAUAAUUAUAAGAGCUUAUAUUUAUAAUUUACUACGUUGAAAUGCUUCAAAAUCUUCGAACAAAAUAAUUCAACUUAUUUUUUUUGGUCAUGGUGUCUUAAAUAAUGAGUUGAAUUUUGACAUUGAAAUUGAAAAAAAGUCCUAGAAAAAGUGAAGUUUGCUAAGAAGAAAUUGUACACUUGGACCAUUGAAUCAAUUCACCACUUCAUAUGUGUUUUGAAAAUCAUUAUAUGACAAUUUAGAGAAAAGGUGGGAGACGUGAGAGAGAAAGAGAAGGUAAGCUCCUUCAUAUUUAUUUAGUGGUUUCGAGUAUGAAUUUUGGGAAUGAAAUCACCUUUAAAAGAGAUAAGAGCCGUAGGUCGGAUGCUAGAUUCACAAUACUAAGUUCUGCGUCCACUAUCGUCUUGAGGCUAGAGGAGUUUUAAGGUACGUAUGACCCUCAAUGUAAAACUAGGUUAAACUGUUAGGGAGAACACACUUUAUUUACUUAAUUAUUCUUCAACACGUCCCCUCAUUCACAUAUUGGACGUUCCAAUUCUUUUAUUUAUUAGCCGAGACUUGAACCUAGGGCCUCAACCUAGUCUCAUACAAUGUUGAAAUUGUGCGAUCCAGAAGUCAUAAAUUUCAUUGAGGUAGUUCAAUGGUUAAUUUAUGUGAUACUAAUAUCAUAUCAUAUCAUCAUAUUAUGCUAUAAGUGGGAAGAAUUUUAGGAAAAAGUUAGAUUACUAUUUUACCCUUACACUAAAUCAUAAUCUAAUUAAUCAAAUAUUAGUAAAAUAAAUUUCUAAUUUAUUAUAUAGUCUUAAUUACUCUUAAUUUAAAAGUUAAAAAAGUUAAAAAGAUAAUUACAUUUAAUAUAUAUAUAUAUAUAUAUUUAUUUUAUAAGCCAACAAGAAAAGGACCAACACUGCAAUACUGAAUUGUACAUCAGGUUGUAUGAAUUGUACUGUUUAUUUAGGCUAUUACACACUUCUCUUUGCCAAAAAAAUAAGCUAAUAAGAGUUGUACAAACAGCUGUAUGUGCUUGUACAAGAGACUUUAAUAAUUAUACUUUAUAGACAACAAGUACAUAAAGCCACGUGUAGGCACAGAAACAUGUAUCUUGCCAUUACUCACUCAUCCUCCACCUUAACCAAAUUUCCUCUGAAGUUUGUCUUUUUUUUUUUUUGGAGCAACUUCAAGCUCUCUGUUUCUGCCAAAUGAUGAAGUAGGGGAAAAGACAUCAAAAGUCAUGGUUAGUCCUUCUACUUUCUUUAUUUUUGCCAAAUUUUGCUUCAUUUAUUUGAAUUAUCUCAUUCAAGCUUCUUUAUGGGAUUUUGCCGGAAAGUUCCAGCUAAUGAGCAUAUUAUUUCUUAUUUUUCGGUUUAGAUCUAAUUUAUCAAUGAUUGUUUUAUUUAAGUAUUUUAUUUCUUCAAAAAUAAUUGGGACGUUUUCUUAGAUGUUGUAUUUCUCUCCCUGUUUAUUUAUUUAUUCAUUUGUUGGUUCUUAAUUUGUUCAUUGGUAAGCAUUCCAAUUCGACCUUUUUCUAUUUUGUUUGUAAUUUCUUGUGUUUUUGUGUAAUUUUUUCUUACCUGAUGUAAUCCGUUCCCGACAUGCAUAUUCUGAUUUUUUUUCCUUCUUAAGAAGUUUGCUCUGAAACAACGAGGUAAUUCAUUUCUUCCCUUUUUUGUACUUUUUCAUCCAAGUUCUUUGGUGAUGUGACAUUGAAGUAAAUAAAGUGACUAUUACGAAGUAAGUUGCACACCUUAAGUGUUUGAUGAUAUGCCAGAGUCAAUUGAAUAAUUAUUGUUUUUCUUUUUUAUCACAGAUGUUCUUCAAGAUUCUCAUCUACAAGGUACAAUAUUUACUUCUAAUGAACUACAUUUGUCUUCAAUAUAUGUGUGGUAUUAUCAUUAUGAUCCUCCAAUACUUAUAUGUUUUUGCAGAAAUCCCGAUCCCCUAUAUAAUAAUGAUAAUAAGAGAAUGUGAAAUCAAACAGUGUGACACUUAUUCUUUGGAUGAUUUGGUGUAUUUUGAUUUGCAUUGAAUGUUAAUAAAAGUGUACAGUGUACUACCAUUUUACGUUCUUGAGAAUUACUGUUAUCUCCUGUAUUCAGGUUAGUCAAAUAUACAAAAACAGAAAAUAGAUGAAAUUGACAGAAUGCUUUUAAUCCGAGUCCACAGAAAUUACUGUGUUUCCUUAAAAAAUUUAAUCCAGAUUAAUUCCUCCCAAGAUUAAACGGAUUAACCUGUUAGAGAAGUAGUGGUACCUCAAACUUUAAUAACUUCAGCGAACGCAAAAACAACAACAAGAUCAGAAGGCAACAUAGUUGGGAUGGUAAAAUGACUGAGGAGUUUGUUCCAAGGCACCUACCGAUGCGACAGGCAAAGCAAAACCAUUUGACAGUAUCAAUAGGUUCAACUAGAUCCAAUAAAUCCAUAAAGAAGAUAUGAAUCAUCAAGUGUUGUUGGAUAGGUUUGAAGAAGAAGACAAGAGAAAAAUACUUCAAGUUACUUUUGAUGGACAAUCAAUCUUUUUUAAUUCAUACUUUAGUAAUAGAAAGUUUGAGGUUGAUAACUCAACUUUCUUCUUGAUUGACAUAUUUUUACAUUAUUUAAGCAUCCUCAUUUGUAAUAUCAUCAUGGAGUGUAUUAUAAACUCUGUGAUGAUCAGAAAAUACUUAGUUUUCUCUAGCUUUUAUUUUCUUCAUGCUUGUUAGGUAGCAGAAGUUAGGUACUUCAUUAGGAUUAGUAAGGUAAGGCCUAGCCCCCCUUGCUUGUACUUGUCCCUAUUGAUAUUUUUUAUGUUUAAUAAAAGACCGCUAGACACUGUCUAAUGGUAAAUUUGUUUUUAGAAAAAAAAAAAAAAAAAAAAAAAAAAAAAAAAAGAGAGCCAGGAUUCUAGUUUUGAGAGAGCAAAAACAAAAAUAAUGGCAAAAUAAGCAUAGAGAAGAAAGAGAGGAAAAAUUUUCAGUGUUUGAAAAACGGAAAAAACCUCUUAUUUAUAGCCUUUUACAGCAAGGAACGCGUCUGUCCAGACCCAUUUUUUCCAGACCGUUGUCUUUUUGGGAAAAGUAACGACUUUUCGGAAGGAACAAAUCCUUUCAAACGAAUUUACCGUUACGUGCGAAUUUCAAAUAAUUCGUUAUGAAAUUAAUUCUGUUGUUUAACUAACAUUCUGAAUUAAUUUAUAAGAGAAAGAAAAUCAGUUAAUAAGAUUGAUUAAAUAAAUUUUGUCCAAAAAUAUUAUUAAUCAAUCACAUCAUUUGCCAAAUCCAAAUCCGAAGCCGAGCGAGCGACGGCGCGAGGGUGCACCUUCUUCUUAACCCUUUAAGAACUAAAGGAAGUGUUUCCUAAUAUAAUCACAACAAUUUCCUUUCUUCUACCAAUAUGGUAAAAAUGACUUUUCAUUUGGACUUUGCAAUGACUUUUCAUUUUCCCUCCAAAAUUGGUUCCCCCACUUUCCAUUUUUUCUUCUUAUUUUCCAUUCACACCUUGCUAAACCCAACAAUUACUUCAAUAGUUACCGUAAAAUUAUAGAGAUGCCAGUACAUAAGGCACCAAUUAGGACUUUAAGUUGUAAGAUUCUUCUCGAGUGUAAUAACUACACCACAUGUUGUAAGUAAGAAUGUCAACUUAAUUUAAAUUGAAUGAACUUCUACCACCUUGGUGUGCUACUAGCAUAAAAAAUCUCGGAUAAUUUGGCUGGAAACCUUACGAGAUGUGAGCACCCAGAGUUUUUGAAUCUUGGCUUGGCAAGCUCUUUACCCCCCCCCCCCCCCCUCUCAUGCUCAUAUCUCUAGGAUGUAGUUGAAGAUUCACAAAAUAAUUUUCGAGUUUCAGUUUCACUAAUUCAGAAGAAUGACAAUGAAGGCCUGUUAUGUGUACUUCUCUUAUUUAGUCAAACUCUUAAAAUGAUACAAAUAAAUCAAUAAAAGGACAAUGUAAAUGAGAUACGUGGUGGUUGGACUUUGUUAACAUAGAGCGAGUUCCACAAUUCCUUCCACUUUGAGAUCCUUGUAACCAAUCGUAUGGUGUAAAUGAUUUUCCAAUAUUUGAUAAGUACCAUCAGAUUGAAAACUAAAAUUCUGCAUAAAUAGCAAUUGAGAGAAUGAAAACUCAUGAAAAUGGAGAGAAAAGAGGAAGAACGACACUGCAAGAAAGUAACACAAAAAAAUAAAAAUAAACUACAAGAAAACACUGAUCAAAAAGGAAAGGGAAAGAAUAAGUAUCCACCAAAGAUAGUACAAAAACAGGCAUAGAACAGUGAGGAAGCACAAAUAUAUUUAAAGUUUUGAUGAAAAUUUAUAAAGAAGAGGCUGAAGUUUGGUAGGUAUAGGAUGAAUUUUAUAUGCAUAUGCAGCCAAGUUAUUUAAUGAAGGCCCGUGCUAUGUAUCCUUUUGUGCUAAUUACUAAUGUAGUUUAAAAUUGUUGCUUUAUUUUAGCAGAUAACUAAAUGAGAGUUGACAUGACAAGAUGACCAGAAAGAAACAAGUUAGUCCUACAUGGCUUUAGUGAAAUGAACACUGUCCCAGUUAAUGUACUGAGAAGGGUCAGGACAAGAGAAGAGAACUGAAACGUUGAACACGUGAAAGUCAAUAUUUGUCUGUUUCAUGUUGAUUUCAAUUUCACGUUUUAUACAGAAGUAAUUUGUGAUAACAGUGAGACAAUAUUUGAAUAUGAUCACGUUACUACUGAGGGAUAAACUUGAGAAAACUAUAUAAUCUAUGUGACGCUUUCAAGAAUGUAUCUGCAACCAGAUUCUUGGAGUCCCUUAUAUACUACUUUGGUUAAAGAUGCUCCAUUAUGUUAAUAUUAUUGAUCAUGUCCUGCAGAUCUCUACCUCUUUACUGUUAGUAUUAGGGUCCUCUCCCUCUUCUAGUGAAUUUUUUUUGUUCUCUUUGCUUUUCAUGCUUUCAAUGUUAGAUCUGUCUGAUGUUUUUGCUGAUUGUCUGUGAUAGUGGUAAGGAUACUUUUUUUCACUUUCAAUGUUGCAUCUGUCUAUUUCAAUUUCUAUAUGGUAUAACAAGAAUUAAUGCAUGUCACUCUAUUAUUUGUUAAGUCUAUUUUUUUUUUUAUAUCAUGUUCAAUUUCAAACAGAAACUUGCUAUAGGUUAGACCAUCAUACUUUUUGCUGGCGGACUUCACCAAUUACUGUUUUGAAGGUGAUGAAGUCAGUUUUUCUACGAUUUUCAUUAAAGAAAGAGUUGCUUCUUAUGUUUAAUUAAUUUGACCCUUGCUUUGCAGUUGAUGGCUUGAGGACAAAUACAGAAUAUUUUGGAUACAAUAUUGCAUCAACAUCCAUCUGUUAUUCAAUGAUUUGAAAAAGUCGUUCAAGAUUUUAGCAAGGAAGACAAAGCUCGCCUUCUUCACUCAUCGUCUAACAAAUCUGUCUACUUCUCCAAGUGUCGUUAAAAGGAUUUACUUCCCUGCAAGGAGUAUUCAGGUUUCAAAUCCAAAAAGUUUAUGCUAGACCUGUUCACUUGCCUUAAGCACAUUCAUGGUAAUUAUUUUAUCAUCUGAAAGUGAACUAUGAUUAUCCAAAAAUAAAUUUUGAUUGUCCUCCUGAUGCUGAAGAAUUUUCUCAGUCAUGUUGUUCCUCUCUAAGUUACUUAACUUUUUUUCAUUUUUGUUAUCAUCCUAAUUUACUUUUAUUACUAAAGAUACCAAUAGAAGUCUUCGUUCCUUCCUCUGUCCAAAUUACUUCUCCUGCUUUUCUUUUUAUGUGCAUCCUAACUUUACUAUAGAUGAAUUGACAUUUUCCCUUGUAUUAUGCUGCAUAUUUAAUUUGUAGUACGUAUAAUUUUUCGACGAAUAUAUGUGGCUACGCCAUUGAUCUGAGUGGAUAGUAGUUUCUUCUGAACCAGUAUUUUGUUUUUGGAAGCUCUAUCAUUUAGAUUUGUGGAUGAGAGUGACAUUUGACUCUCUCCAUUUGUUUUGUUUUGUUUUCUAGAUUCUGAAAUGAAGAAAGAGGAGAAAAGGAAAUGAGGACUUUAUGAACAGGGGCUAUAAAUUAGAAGUAGUCCUAAUCAUUUAUCUUUGUUGAAACAUGUGAAGUAUGUAUUUAUGGUGGGCAUGAUUACAAUACUUGAGAGAUUGAAAUGGUACGUAAAACGUAAUUAUAAAAGUUGGAGUCUCAAGAGACAUGAAAAUUUGAAAGGUCAAUUACUAUUAAAAUAAAUAUAAAAAGAUAGAGCAUAAAUUUAAUUCAUUAACUUUUAAAAUUAAAUUAAUAGACUUCUAAACAAUAUGCAUUGAAUCUUAUUGUAGAAAGUUAUUCCAUAUUCCCAAAUUUAUUGAAAAUUUCAAAUUCUUAAUUAUUAGUUCAAUUAAAAUGUUUAAUUCCUCUCAUCUUUCAUAUAAUUAAAUAUCAUGUCUUUUCAUAUACUUUAUAGGAUUUUAUAAAUUUGGACAGAAAAAUUUAUACUAUUCAAUCACAUAGUCAAAUGCUCUAUAAAACUCAAAGUAAAAAUCAUCUUAUUAGUUUGUAUUCACAACUUACGCAACUUCUACAAGCUUUUCAUCAUCAUGUAUUCAUCACUCAUUUUCUAUUUUUGGGUUUCAAUUACAAAACAAUAUUGAGUUUUGGGUUUAAGAAUUAUAUUGCUUCAUCGUGAGAAUGUUGGAGGCAAAACACAUUAUGGUCCUUUUUUCGAUUUUGAAAAUACCUUUAUUUGAGUAUGAGGAACAGGCCGAAAAUAUUACAUAAUUUAUGUUUAAAUAUUCUUAAUUAUUUUUGAUUUAUAUGAAGCAACUUCUUUCAAUGUGGGUUGUAUCAUUAUUUGUGUCUUUUUUACUAAUGUUCCUUAGUUAUCUUGCUCAAAAGAUCCUUCUUUUUGUGUGUAUAUAUAUAUUUGCACUUUAUUUACUGAUUUUGUAUUUUAUUGAUAAGUUUUUUUGGGGUUUGCAAUUAUUUUCGUCUUUUAAUAGAUUUUUGGUGAUGAUCUCUUAUAUAAAAUGAAUAGAAAAUAUUAGUCCACUUCACUUUUGUGUUUCAUCAUCUUAUAAUUCUUAUACAUUUAUGUAAAAUCAAUAUGUUGGUCAUUUUUCCCUGAUUAACAUGGUAAAUAUAUAUUUAAUCUUUGUCUUUAUUAAUUUUGUUAUAUAUGUUGUUAACGUCCAUUUCGUAAAUUUAGAGUAAGAGUUCAUCACUAUAUCACAUACUAUAUGCUAUAUUAUCGUAAUUAGUUUUAUAUUUUUCAAUAUUUUUCAUUUUGCAGACAAAUAACCAAAAUUAAAUUAAGAGAAUUAAUUGACAUUGUUAUAUUUGCACAGAACAACAUAUGCAAAAGAAUAGUGUAAUUGAUAAUUAUCAACGUUAAAUUAGACCUAUACAAAUUUGUAUGACAGUAAAGAAUAAACGUGCAACGCACGUUUUCAGAACUAGUUGACAUAUACACCGGUAUAAUUUCAGCGAGGGAUGAUCAAAUGGCAUAAGAGUUUGUUUUUUAAAAAUAAAAUAAAAUAAAAUUGGGAGUAGGGGAUUACAAGUUGCGGAAUUGAAUUGGUACCUUACCAACAAGGUGAAAGUUCAAGUAGUCAACUAACUGAGCUACUAAGGUUCCAUGCUAUAAGAGUGUGACACCGUGUGUAAGUCGGUUUAAGUUAACAGAGAUUUGGAAAACAUAUAUAGUUUGUUAUUUGCCUUUCUCGAUUAUAUUAAAUAUGUGCUUACUCUACUUUGAGACAACAUAAAAGAAGAUACACAUCUUAGAUUUAUUUGUUGAUAAUCAAGCCACCCUCGGAUUCUUCCCUAUUGAUAUUAAUGAGGUGGGCGGAAAGGAUAAUGCCUAAUAUAUGGAUACAUAUAUUUCCCUCUAACCAUUCUGAGUUGACACUCACAAGUGAACAAAGAGGUGGAUCAUUUGAUCUUGAAUUAUGUCGUCUCAGUUAUCCAGAUCUUUCUAUCUCUAUUCAUUUUGUCAGGUACUUGAAUCAUAUGAUUUUGAGGAAUUUGCUUUCAACAUUCAUUUUACUGGACCAAAACGAGACCUUUCCGUGCUAGUUGUCAGUUUGAUAUCCAAGUGUUGAAAUCACUCAUUUUAGAUAAGUAGAUAAAUUUGACUUGAGCAAGUGUGGAAGGGAAAUUGUGAGAUUUAUUGAAACCAACCAGUAUUCCAAAACAGAAUCAUGCACAAAUCAAGUGACUAAAAAAAAAAACCAAUCCUUACAUGAAUCCAACAAUUUAGUAAACAUUUGCAACAAAUAAGUGAUUCCGAGAACAUUGCUCAGCAUGCAAGAAGUUGAAUCUUGAUCUUUUGUAGCAUCCCUACAACAUCUUUCAUGUUUGUCCUUCUUGCCGCAGAUUCAGCACAACAAUCUAAUGCCACUUUCAUGAUUGAUGCCACGAUAUCUAACUCCUUCUGUAAGCAAUUAUCCAUUGAUGUUAUCAAGUUGGCAUCUACAACAUCCAUUACUGCCUCUGGGAAUGAAUAACUCACCCAUUGCUUCAAGCUAAGAUCUCCCUCAAACUCAUUAGGCUUUUUCCUAGUAAACGUCUCUAGCAACAUGAUCCCAUAACUAUAGACAUCACAUUUUAUAGACACCAAUCCAUCCAGUCCAUACUCUAUAAACAAACAAUUCAUUUGAAGAUUUAACAUAAUUUCUUGGUGAAAAAGAAAAAGAAAGGAAAAGUCAAACAAAACAAAUUAAGAGACGUACCUGGUGCAAUAUAACCCAAUGUUGCUAAGGUUUUAGUGUAUAAAUCACUCUCAUCUUCACCAAGCAGUUUUGAAAUACCAAAGUCGCUUAGGUGGGCAACCAUAUCCUUAUCCAGCAAGACGUUACUAGGCUUCAGGUCACAAUGAAUCACCGGAGAGGAGCAUCCAUGAUGAAGAUAUUCCAACGCGCAUGCUACAUCUAUCAUAAUGCUAAGUCUCUGCCUAAUGUCUAGGAAGUAGUUGUUUGAAUACAAAUACUUGUCAAGACUUCCAUUAGGCAUAAACUCGAGCACUAAAGCCUUAAAAUCAAGGUUGGAACAACUAGUGAUGACUUUCACGAGAUUCCUAUGGCGAAGGCAGCGCAAAACUUCACAUUCUGUAUCAAAACUCUUGAAUGCCGCUUCCCGUUGCAAAUUGAACACUUUAACUGCAAUAUGAGUUCCACUUCUGAGAAUGCCUUUGUAGACAGAGCCAAAACUUCCAGAACCAAUCAGAUUACUCUCGCUAAGCGAAUCAGUUGCUUGGAGCAGUUCAUAGUAUGAAAAUUCUUUCUGUUGUUGCCAUAGACAAUGAACCAGUUUGUUGAGGAGCUCGUUUACCUCUUCUAUACCUUAUCCAUAGGAAUAGGAAGGCGAUAGGAACAAAUACAAGUGUUAUUCCUAGCAAAAGAAAUAGAACUAGCAAUUUUGUCCUAUUUGAUCUAUGCGUUGAUGAAGUGGGGCAUGUGGGGACAUUAAACCUUGACAAACCACACAAUGCUUCGUUGUUGAUGAAAAAUUUACUCGAUAGGCUCUUGAAAGGACCCCCCGAGGGUAUUUCACCGUGCAACUUGUUGNNNNNNNNNNNNNNNNNNNNNNNNNNNNNNNNNNNNNNNNNNNNNNNNNNNNNNNNNNNNNNNNNNNNNNNNNNNNNNNNNNNNNNNNNNNNNNNNNNNNNNNNNNNNNNNNNNNNNNNNNNNNNNNNNNNNNNNNNNNNNNNNNNNNNNNNNNNNNNNNNNNNNNNNNNNNNNNNNNNNNNNNNNNNNNNNNNNNNNNNNNNNNNNNNNNNNNNNNNNNNNNNNNNNNNNNNNNNNNNNNNNNNNNNNNNNNNNNNNNNNNNNNNNNNNNNNNNNNNNNNNNNNNNNNNNNNNNNNNNNNNNNNNNNNNNNNNNNNNNNNNNNNNNNNNNNNNNNNNNNNNNNNNNNNNNNNNNNNNNNNNNGGGACAUUAAACCUUGACAAACCACACAAUGCUUCGUUGUUGAUGAAAAAUUGACUCGAGAGGUUCUUGAAAGGACCCCCCGAUGGUAUUUCACCAUGCAACUUAUUGUCAGAAACAUUAAAAUACUUGAGGUAUUGAAGUUUCUCCAAAGACAUGGGAAUAGUUCCCGAUAUAUUAUUAUGAGAAAUGUCUAGAAAUUCCAAACCUACCAUGUUGCUCAUUGAGUCAGGUAUAGAUCCUUGCAACUUGUUGUGUCUCAAAGUAAAGUUCUCUAGAUUUAGCAAUCCUCCAAUUUCUAUAGGAAUACCAUUUGAGAAUUGAUUCAUUGACAGAUCAAUUAGUGUCGCAGCCUUUAGAUUUCCAAUUUCUGGAGGUAAAGAACCAACCAUGUUGUUUGACGAUAAGUCAAGAAGCACUAAAUCUUUAAGAUUCCCCAAGCUUGUUGGUAUAUUGGAACUCAAUUUAUUGGAAGCAAGAUAUAUCAAUCUAAGGGAAGUAACGUUCCCAAACAAUUAGGAAGAGAUCCUGAAAGUUGAUUUUGACCCAAGUCAAUAGCACCCAAAUGAUUCAGUUUACAUAUAUGAUCUCCAAUAAAUCCUGUAAGUUUGUUGUACUGAAAAUACAUACGCUGAAGGUUUCUCAAGUUGUGAGUUGAUGUUGGAAUCGAUCCAAUUAAGUUAUUAUCAGAAAGAUCAAGGUCUAAUAAGCUGCUUAAGUUUCCAACUUCAUUUGGAAUCUGGCCGUUAAUCUUGCUAUCAGUGGCAUAAAGCUUUACAAGAGAUUUGGAGAAGUUCCCUACGGAGACCGGAAGCAUUCCAUUUAGAGGGUUGAAUGAUAGAUCAAGAAGUCUUAAAUUUCUGCAAUUGGUUAAGGAAGUGAGGAAGCUUAAAAAUGAAUCACUGGUUAAAUUAUUUUCUGGCAAAUUUAGGUUCUGUAGAUGAGUCAAAUAUCCAAGAGAAUUGGGAAUCAGGCCUGUGAGUUUGUUACCUGAAAGCUCUAGGAUAGUAAGCUUUGAGCAAUUGGAAAUAGAAUGAGGAAUAGUCCCAACAAGAUUGGUCAAGUCACUGAUAUAAAGCUCUUCAAUGUUGGGUAAGGUAGAACCUAUGUUUGGUGGGAUGGUUCCUGAUAGAUUAUUCAAUGAAAGAGCCAUUGCUCUCAUCCCUGAUAUAUUGAAGAUCUCCAUUGGAAGUGAACCACUAAAACUAUUAAACCCAAGAGCAAGUUCCUCCAACUCAACCAGAUUUCUUAUCUCUUUGGGUAUUUCACCUGUCAACACAUGAUCAAUGAAUUUAGCUAGCUAGUUCAUUAAUACAGAUUGCUAUAUAUCACUUUGAAUACGUACCAGUAAACCUAUUGUUGUUAAGAUAUAAAACUUGUAUCUUGGUUAAGUUGCCAAUCUCCCGUGGUAAGGAUCCCUUGAGAUUGUUCCCCCUUAGUGAAACAAAUUGCAAUGAGGAGAUUUGAAUAUAGAGAUUGGGAUAGAGCCGGUAAUCUGGUUUACAUCCACGGCUAAUUCCACCAAAUUAACAAGAUUUCCGAUUUCUUGUGGAAUUAUACCUGCAUUUAAUGUGUAAUAAAAAAAGAUCUGAGGUUAUUAGGUACAAUACAUUACUAGCAUUCGUAAAAUAAAACAUAUAUACCUGUGAAAUGGUUAGAUCCGAGAUACAAUAUCUGCAAGUUACUCAAUCUUCCAAUUUCACUGUGUAUUGGUCCAUCAAAAUCAUUUACAGAUAGAGACAAUAUUUGAAGUUGUGAACAAUUUGACAAGCUUAUAGGCAUAUGACCAUGAAGCUUGUUCAUUGAUAGAUGAAGCUCUUUGAGUAUUGGAAGACGAUUGCAUAAAUCAUUGGGAAGCUUUCCUGAUACGCUAUUGUUUGAAAAUGCGAUGACUUGGAUACUAGAAAUAUUGAAAAUUGUGAAUGGUAUAGAACCUGUAAGCUGAUUAUGUUCCAUGGACAACACAUUCAGGUUGUGAAGAUUGCCAAUCUCUUCUGGAAUAGAACCUAUGAAUUUGUUUCUACCCAAGAUUAAAACUCUCAAGUUUUCAAGACUUCCAAUUGCUUUUGGGAUUUGACCCUCUAUUGAAUUGAAUCUCAGAUUCAAAGUUUCAAGUGUGGAAAUAUUAGAAAAUGAACAAGGGAUGGAACCAGUGAAUCUAUUAUUUCCAAGAUUUAAAACUUCAAGUUUGUGUAAGAACCCAAACCAAGAAGGAACCUCCCCUCUAAAGUUGUUCAAACUUAAAUCAAGAUACUUAAGCCGACGCAAGUGUGCUAUUUCUUGAGGCAAAUUUCCAUGGAAAUUGUUGCUUCUCAAGACAAGAGAAACAAGAAAUGUGAGGUUUCCUAAAUCACGGGGGAUCCUUCCUGUAAGAGCCAUGUUGGAAAGAUUCAAGGACUUCACUCAAGACAAGAGAAACAAGAAAUGUGAGGUUUCCUAAAUCACGGGGGAUCCUUCCUGUAAGAGCCAUGCUGGAAAGAUUCAAGGACUUCACUCUGUGAUGACGAGAGUCACAUGUGAUUCCUACCCAAUGGCAAACAGAAGUAGUGGGAGACCAACUAUCAUCCAAGAAAUGAAAGGGGUCCGAAAUAAUUUGAGAUUUUAAAGAAAAAAGAGUUAACUGAUCCGUAGAAACAUUGGCAAGAGUCAUGACUGAACUAGGCAUAACAAAGUGAAACAACAAGAGUAGUGUUAAAAGAAAAGAUCUCAAGGCUUUCUCCAUAUGUAAAAUUAUUAGUAGUAGGAAAAUGGUAUUACUAGCAGACUGUUCUUUUGAAUCUUUUUUAAAAGGGGAAAAGGAAAAACAUAUCAGCAUUAAUGCAACUAAAUUAUUGUUUCAAUGAAACAAAAAAAAUGUGUCUUUUAUUGGUUGUUGUGAGUUUGAUAUCAAGUGUUGAAACCACUCAUUUUAAAUAAAUAGAUAAAUUUUCCAAGUUAUGUGGGGCAUAAAUUUGACUCAUGUCGUCAAUAUGGUAGACUGAUAAUAAUUGGUGCAAUAUCAUGUUAAACUAUUGGUGCUGUAUCAUGGUAGACGGAAAAUUCUUAUCUAUGUUGUGAAAAUUCACAAAAUUUCACUUAAUUUGUUAAAAGUUUGGUUUAUCUAUGUCAUUGUUGUUAAAGAAAAAGCUCAUUAAUGCCAUUUUUUAACUCCAAUUUUGCAAAACCAUUUUUUACACCGCAAACAAGGUUUAACACUUUUUAAUUGAAGUUUUUGGAUCAAAUGUACACUUUUUGCUUAUUUUUCUUUAAGAACACCAAAAACACAUGAAGAACAUACUUCCUCUGUCACAAUUCAUGUGACACAUUUCGAAUUUCGAGAUUCAAACAACUCUAUCUUUGACCGUAAAUUUUUCAUAUAUCUUUUAAAUAUUUUGAAUUAUCAAUUAGUGAGACUUAUAGUACUUUUAAUGUAGUUUAUAAAUAUAUAAAUUUCAUUUUAAAAAAAUUGAAGAUUUCAUGUGCAAAUUCUCAGUCAAACUUAAACUGUUUGACUCUUGAAAAGCAAAAUGUGUCACAUAAAUUGGGACAGAGGGAGUAAAUAACUUCCAAAUUUUCAACAUCUUCAAUUAUUCACGAAAUCAUCUCAAAUUUCGGCGCGCAUAGUUUGUUACGUCAGUUCCAAAAGGAUAAGUUGGGUUGGAAUUGAUAAAGUUCCAUGGAGUUCAUGAUUGCACAAAAGGACUAGUUAAAGUAGUGGUUGAGGCGCGUAGAGGCACUUCUACGACGAUUGUUGUACAUCCACCUUACUGACUCAUAUAUGUUUGAGGCUGGUGAAAGGAAAUGCGGAUUGAUUUCACAUAAUGGAAAGAUGGGACUUAAGAAUAUCUCUCUCCACUGGGACAUAUAAUGGAAAAGGACCUAUCACAUAAUGGAAAGAUGGUAUUACUAGUAACAUGUGUUUAGGAGACUUUUCUUUUGAAGCUUUUUAAAAAGGGGAAACGGAAAAACAUAUCAGCAACUAAAUUAUUGUUUCAAUGAAACAAAAAAAAUGUGUCUUUUAUUGGUUGUUGUGAGUUUGAUAUCAAGUGUUGAAACCACUCAUUUUAAAUAAAUAGAUAAAUUUUCCAAGUUAUGUGGGGCAUAAAUUUAACUCAUGUCGUUAAUAUGGUAGACUGAUAAUAAUUGAUGCAAUAUCAUGUUAAAUUAUUGGUGCUGUAUCAUGGUAGACGGAUAAAUCUUAUCUGUGUUGUGAAAAUUCACAAAAUUUUACCACACAAGCAAAACUUUCCAUUGUUUUUCACUUAAUUUGUUAAAAGUUUGGCUCAUUUAUGUCAUUGUUGUUAAAGAAAAAGUUCAUCCAUGCCAUUUUUUAACUCCAAUUUUGCAAAAUCAUUUUUUACACCGCAAACAAGAUUUAACACUUUUUAAUUAAAGUUUUUGAAUCAAAUGUACACUUUUUGCUUAUUUUUCUUUAAGAACACCAAGAACACAUGAAGAACAUAAAUAACUUCCAAAAUUUCAACAUCUUCAAUUAUUCAUGAAAUCAUCUCAAAUUUCGGCUACAUCAUUAAUUUCUUUUUUAAAAAACUAAAAAUCUAAAAUCAUUUGUAGAGUUUGAAAAAUUCACCCACAUUAAAAAAAAAUCCAAAAAAUGAAAAUCAAUCCCAAAAUUUCAAAAUUUUGUUUUGUUUCGUGUUUUUGUACUUGUUUUUUACAUUAGAUCCUUGUUGCCUAGUGUUUUUUGAGUCUAUGUUCAAAUUUUCAAAUGAUUUGAAGUGUGGAGAAAAUUCUAUCAUUAAAGAAUGUUGAAAUUUUGAAUAAAUUUCAAGUGGGUCUUGUUGAGUUAGGUUGAAUUCGAGCUCAAAAGAUAUUGAGUUUUGGGGUGUACAAAAUCGAACCGAAAACCGAACCAAACCGCAAAUCGAGUCAACCCGAAAAAAAACAAACCCGACUAGUGGUUUGGUAUUGAAAAAAAAAACCCGACUAUAUUUGGGUUGGUUUGGUUUUAACUAAAAAAAACCAAACCGAGACCAAACCAACCCGACAUUAUAUAUAUAAUUUUAAAAUUUUAUUUUAUACAUAAAAAUAUUUACUUUGAUAUAAUUUUUAAAUAUUUCUUAUACUUUUUCAUAGUUUUUAUCUUUUAAUAUAUUAUUUCAAGUUUAAAACUUAGAAUUCGGAAUGGUCCUAUAAAGAUUAUAGUUCAUAGAUGUUGAUAAUUAUAAUAAAACUUAAAUCAAAAUCAAAUUAUUUAGUCAUGUAACUAAUACUUAUUAAACUUAUUUUAGCAUGAUUUAGUACUUUCAAAUUAUGAUCAUUUUCAUUAUGACUUGUUAAUUUGCAAUAUUUGUUUUACGCGAUUUCAUUAUUAUUACUAUUUUUGUUGGAUAUUUUAGUGUCAUUAAUCAUAUCAUAUUGUGUUAUUUUUUUAAGAAAUACCUUAGAUAUUUGUAUUUUGGUAGGACUAAAAAAUAUUUGAAGUACAAGUAAAUUAUAUAUUUGUAUGAAUAUUUACCGGAAAAACCCGAAACAACCCCAAAAACUAAAAAAAAUAUGAAAAAACCCGAGGUUGAAAAGCCCAAGUUUUAUUGGUUUGGUUUAUAAAUUUUAAAAUCCGACACAAUUGGUUUGGUUUGAUAUUUGAAAAACCCGAACUAACCCGGCCAUGUACACCCCUAAGUUUUGGUAUCUAGCUCGGAGGGAAACUACUCUUGAAAUUUGAGGCAAUUUCGUGAAGAAUUGACAAGUUUGAAAUUUGGAAAUUGUUAAUGUUCUUUAUGUGUUCUUAAGGAAGUAGAAGCAAAAAAUAUACCUUUGAUCCAGAAACACCAAUCAAAAAGUGUUAAACCUUGUUUUGGGGUAUCAAAAAUGGUUUUGCAAAAUCAAAGUUAAAAAAAAUGGACAAUGACAUAUAUGAGCCAAACUUUUAACAGAUGACAUAAAUGAGUUUUUUCUAAAAUUUCGAUGACAUAUUUGAGCCUUUUCCUUUUUUGUAUGUUGUUAAAUUAUCUUUCCUUAUUUCUCUCAAUAAUCUUCUCUUAUGUAAUAUUAAAAUGUAACACUAAAGUACGCUAUGAACUAAGGGUCUAUUAUUACAAGGUAAGGGGUAAGGAUGCAUACAUAUCGUAUUUCUAAGACUUUACUUAUAAAAGGACCCUAAAAACCACCGAGAAAAAACAAUAUAAAGAUCGGAAAUGAUUUCAUUUUUUAAGAACCAAAUUUAAGGAAAGGACAUGAUCGGAAAUGAUUUCAUUUUUAAGGGAUUUAUUGUAAAAAGAAAACAAUAAAUUGGUGUCUGAUGAUUUGAACAAAUUGGUAAGGGUUAUGUGAAUAAUUAUGUGAACAAACUGUAGUACCGAUACAUAAAAAUAUUGUAAAAAAAUUUGCUGUGUUCUUUAUUAUGGACGAUACAUUAGUGUGAAUAAUUAUGUGACAAGUUGUGAAACACUGUAACAUUAUAUAUUUGAAAUGCUUUUGUUAUAUGCCUUAUUCUGAUGAAUUUUUUUUGGCAGCUAUGUGAUAGUGUGCUUCAGUGAUGAAUGUGGCUGGUGUUUAAAGUCUUCUUGCAGAAAGAAAUUCGAUGUAUUCAAAGUGAGAUACUUCAAUAGUGAACAUACAUGUCCGAUGCGGGAUAGGAUACUAACAAAAGUACAAGCAACAAUUGGAUUUAUUAGUGGUGUGACUGCCCCUAAGUUGGUAAAUCAUAAACGAAUUCAUACGCCGAAAGAUGUAAUUGAAGAUAUUCGAGAAUUAUAUGGGUUGAAAUAUCAUACCAACAAGCAUGACGUGCUAAGGAACGUGCACUAGAGAUACUAAAGGGUAAACCAUUAGAUGGAUACAAGCAGAUGCCGAGAUACAUAAGGAUGCUAAAUAAAGUGUAUCCAAAUUCAUAUAUAAGGAUGCAAAAGAUGGAAGAUAAUCAAUUCAUGUAUCUUUUCAUAACCCUAAGGCCAUUGAUGAGAGGGUUCGACUACUGCAGACCUGUAGUUGUAGUGGACGGUGCACAUCUUGGCAGGGCUUACAAAGGUACUUUUGUAUCAGCUAGCACACUCGAUGGUGCAGGUUUGACUGUUGCAAUACUGAUGUAAUUUUGAACUUGUUUUAUAUGUAUAAUCAAUGUAUCUUAAUGUAAUCGUUAUGUAUCAAUAAGUUAAAUGUGUGUUGCUUUGUGAUUAGGUUGCAUAUUGUCGUUGGCAUAUGGUGUUGUAGACACUGAAAAUGACUGUUCGUGGACAUGGUUCUUCGAACAAUUCAAAAAUGCAUUUGGCGAGCGUGAAAAUAUGUGUAUUGUAUCAGAUAGAAAUGAAAGUAUUAUGAAGAGUGUAAGCAUUGUGUUCCCAAAUGUACCUCAUUGUGCAUGCAUAUGGCAUCUUUGGAAGAAUGUCUGUUCAAACUUCAAAAGAAAUAAAAACACACUAACUGAUAUAUUUUACUCAAUGGCAAAGGCAUACAUAAAGGAGGAUUUUGAUAAAUUAAUGGCUAAGGUGGUGAAAGUUGAUCAUAGGGUGAAGGAUUACCUUGAGGAUGCUGGGUAUGAGAAGUGGUCAAGAGUUCAUUCAAUAGUAAACAGAGGUAGAAUGAUGACUUCGAACAUCGCAGAGUGUAUCAAUGGUUGCCUUGUUGAUGCACGUCGGUUAACUAUAAUAGACUUCUUGGAGGAAGCUAGACUUCUAUUUAUUAGUUGAAACUGUAAAAAUAGAAAAAUAGCGUUAUAUACAAAGGACACAUUGGGCCGAAGAUUUGAGGAGGUAUUGAUUGUAAACGCAUCUAAAAGUUCAAAGAUGAAGGUAUUUAUCAAUAUCCAUAACUUUCUGUUUUAUGUAUCAGAAACUCGGAUCAUUUCACUAUUAAGCAUUGCUUUGGAAAUGAUAUAAAAAUGGAAUAUCAUGUAAUGUAUCACUAACUUAUUAGUGUUUUCAGGUUGUUCCAUCAUCUGAAUAUAUUUUCUCAGGUUAUGAAGCCGGAAGAAGAUACACUGUAUGCCUUGAGCGAAAAUCAUGUACUUGUGGAAGAUUUCAACAAGAUGAGAUACCUUGUGCACACACAAUUGCAGUUUUAAAGCACAAGAAUGUUAAGGAUAUGCAUCCAUAUUGCUCUGAUUACUACAAGCCUGAUGCAUUAGCAAAAACCUACGAGGUUGCAAUGGUUCCAAUGCCGGAUAAGGAGGAUUGGACAGUUCCAGACUAUGUUUUAGAUGAAAUUGUUUUGCCACCUAGGUAUAGAAGGUUGGUUGGACGACCAAGGAAACGAAGAAAGAAAAAUGCGGAUAAGAAGAUAACAGUGAGCAAGAAUUCUUGUGGGCAAUGUGGACAAGAAGGUCACAACAGGAAAACUUGUACUUUCUUCCCGAAAGAUAAGUGAAAUAAUAUUUUUAACUUGCAGUUACUUUUAAAUUGUACUUUCUUCCCAACAAGACAUUUGUGUUCAUGCUCAAUAAAUUGCACUUACAUAUAUUUUUCACUUUAGUAUUUGGAUUAAAUAAAGUGUAUUGUUUACACAAUUUAUUUUGUUGUUCAAACUAAAUAAUUUGUUGAGAAUUUUGUGUCAAUCUUACAUUGAAUAUAAAUUUAUUCUUAUACUGUUGAAUAAAUAAAUAAAUCUGAAUGUAUAAACUUUGAAAAAGGAGAUGAGCAAUCCACUAUAAAUAUGAGAGUACAAAAUAUAGAGAGAAACAACCUCAACCAAUUUACUCGGAAUACAAGGAGGUACACAAAAUACUCCUCCAUAAGUUAGAAGGAACAAACCUAUAUUUAUAGAGUCCUAAAACCUUUCCUACAAGAAAAAGACUAGUUAAAAUAUUAAAGCAUUUUCCUAAAAGGGAAACCUAUUUAUGGUAAGAAAUCAGGGCAGAUAAACCCCAACAAAGUUCAGGUUCUAAGGAUUGCCGAUCCUUUCUGGAAUGUUUCCUUGAAGUAAAUUGGCUGAUAUUUCUAAAGUCUCCAACCUUGAGGCAUUCGAGAGUGACGGAGGAAUGGAACCAGUGAAACUAUUAUUUUCAAGAUUUAGAACUUGAAGUUGGUAUAAAUACCCAAGCCAAGAAGGAAUUUCCCCUCUAAAGUUGUUGAAGCUUAAAUCAAGAAACUUUAGCCGACGCAAGCGUGCCAUUUCUUGAGGCAAAUUUCCAUGCAAAUUGUUGCCACUCAAGUCAAGAGAAAUAAGAAAUGUGAGGUUUCCAACAUCACGGGGAAUCUUCCCUGUAAGAACCAUGUUGGAAAGAUUCAAGGACUUCACUCCCUAGUGACGAGAGCUACAAGUGACUCCUACCCAAUGGCAAAUCGAAGUAGUGGGAGACCAACUUUCAUCCAAAUUGUGAAAGGGGUCCGAAAUGAUUUGAGAUUUUAAAGAAAGAAGAGAUAAUUGAUCAGUGGUAAUAUUGGUUUGGGUCACGGCUGAACUAAUCAUAACAUUGUGAAGCAACAAGAGAACAGAGAUGAUUGUUUUCUCCAUAAUUUCAUAAAUUAGUAGGAAAAUGGUAUGGCUAUUAGUAACUUAUUUUGAAACUUAUAUAGUGAAUUUUUUUUUUUUGGAGACUUUUCUUUUAAAUCAUUUUUAGGAUUAACUUUUCUUCACCAACAAGGGUUGUGAAGUGGUUAGUACUCCAUUCUUAACCAGAGGUUUUGGGUUUGAGUCUCCCUAGUACGAAGUUGCCUUUGUUACGGAGUGCUUGCCCCCCUCUCCCCCAACGUGGAACUUCCUGGGAUGAAUUUGGAGCGGCUCUAAUGUCGGUACCGAACACUGGGUAGAAAACCAAAAACAAUAAAAACCUUUCUUCAUUUAUGUGGGCCCAAGGUCUUGACCAAUUGUAACUGUCACGCCCCGAGCCUACACCCUGGGCGGGACCGGCACUCGGAGACCAUUGCUGGCCCCAAGCGAACCCUUGGCCUGGCUUUCUUAACUCAGCGGAAACCUACUCAACAGAAUAACUCAAUGCCAUGCAAAGACAUAAACAACUUAAAUGAUACACAUCUGGCCAAAAAGGCAACUCGAGUCUCAAAAUAGAAUAUUUACAUAUAUACAUAGAUAAAAGACUCAAAACUAACUGACUGACUGUCUAUGAAGCCUCUAACAUACUGAGAUGGAUGUUGGGACAGACUCCGCAACAUCCUAAUAACACAAAACAUAAAAGAUCAAAAUAUUUGAGUCCUCCGGAAAGCAAGGAGGCUCACCACUGACUCUGGAGUGCUCAACUGGAUCAACGGCGUGCUGAAUGCUGAUCCUGGGUACCUGCGUCUGCAUCAUAAAACGAUGCAGGCCAACUGGCAUCAGUACAUGGAAUGUACGAGUAUGCGAGCUGGAAAGCUAAACCACAACUUAAGCUUGAAAAGAGUACAAGAGAACACUUACCUUGGCUCUAUUCAACUCAUGAAUAACUGAACUCAAUAUAUAAAGCAAUAAGACACAUGCGAUAUAUAAAGCUUGUAAAACUCUUAAAACAUGACGUAAAAAUCAUAUUUAUAAUAUCAUGAAAAGAUCAUGCUUCUGUGGUGAUACAACGUUUUACCUCACGUUGCCCAAGGACCAUCCUAUACCUUGCCAUCGAUAUAGGACCUUACUUUAACUUUUGCUUAGUGGAUCCACUAGCCUAAUCUUACGUGAUCAUCUAAAAAGAAUGAUACGUCAAGUCCCAUGUUGGCGCAUGGUUCUUAUGGAGAGUUGAGUUUAAUAUGAACUCGCGUCCCCAAAUCGGUGCUCGAUACUACUUCUAAAAUACUUUAGCUCAUAAGUGUUUUAAACACAUCUUUCUUUAGUUGAGAUAAUUACUCAAAACUUAGCCCGAAGGCACUUGAAAACUCUUUCUAAAUAGAACAAGUCAAAACCACAUUUUUUUUUAAUAUGAUCAUUGAUGACUCGGGAUAUUCAUACUGCUUAAACAUUGAUGGUAUAUCUAGAGACCAUACUGUUUCAACAUUGAUGACAUACUCGAUUUGUCAUAUCUAAUCAUAUUUUAGAAACUCUUUUGAAAAACUCAUCUUUUCUUUUUAAAAGAGAUAGUGCUCAAAACUCUUUUGGAAAUCUCAGUUUCCUCUCGUCUUAAAUGUGAAAACAUUUAUAAACUUCCUUCGGAAAUACUUAGUUCCCUAAUUACUUUUGAGAAAUGAACUCAACUCUUGACUCUUGACUUAACUCGAUACUCUUUACUCGACUUGAAACUUAUAUACUUAACUUGGAACUUGAGCCUUAGAAUGAAGUUAAAAUGUUCAAUGAAGACUCUUGAAAAGCUUUAAAGACUUGCUUGGACUUACUUAACUUCUAAGCUUGACUUCACUUGAAUCGGAAACUAACUUCACUUGACUUGGAAACUAACUUCACUUGAAUUGAAUUAUGGAUUCAAGGACUUGAUUGGUGUUUGGAAGGACCUCAUGAUGUUUAGGAAUGAUUUAGGAAUGAUCUGGAACAGCCAAACCUAAGAAAAUCUUCGAACAUAAAUUCUGAAAACAGUGGAGUCCGCGUUCUGUCCGCGACGCAGAGAAGAUUUUGUUUACAGAGGGAACAAGUCCGCGACGCGGACAUGCUCCUCGCAAGCUGCCCGACUUUCUCCUUCACGUUACCAACUCUAAACCCUCUAACCUCAAAGAUUCCAGCCCCCAAUCACUUAGAAACAUAAAAUCCCUCAACAUUCAAUAGAUUUCAACUCAAAAACACAACUCAAUCAUGUCCCACCACCAACAAUAAUUCCAACAACAACAACUAACAACUUUAACAACAUAACCAAUCCUUUCUUAAUAAAUAGAAGGGGCUAGGUGUGUGGGGGGGAAGGAUCACCCAACACUAAAAGCUCACAUACCUUAAUAGGGAUCACCCCCGACGAAAAUCCACGAUGAUCUUGUUGGAAACUUGUUGAUCGCCUCAAUUUUUCUCUUCUUCUUCUCCUUCUUCUCUUCUUCACUCUCAAGCCCUAGCUUUUACUUUCUUAAAUGGGACAAAAUGAUCUAAAGAUCAGCCCUAUACAACAAUAUAAUCCCAAAAAAAUUGGCUAGGGAAAAGACUAAAAUGCCCUUAAUUUACCGGACGGAUUCCCUGCCAACUGCCCAACUUUCAAUGGCCAUAACUCGCUCAUACGAACUCGGAAUUGAGCAAACUCAGCGGCGUUGGAAAGACCAUUCCACAAGCUUCGCAACCAUAACUGGAAAUACUCCUAAAUCAUCCUGAGCUAGGAUUUACGACUUCUCAAAGUUGGCCAAAAUUCACUGAUUUCCAUACUUAGCAAAAUUUCCAAAACUUUAAAAUUCUUUCCAAAAAAUGAAAAUUUCCAAUUCUAAGCCUCUUCAAUUAUUUCACAUUGCCGGAUGUUACAGUAACAAACCAAAUCAACAAGUCUUGCAAACCAUGAUGGUGGUGUAAACAUGUUUUACACAAAUUCAUGGGAAAAAGAAGUAAAAUUGUCAAUUAGAAUAUAACAGUGAACCUUGACUAAUCUUUUGACGUCCAUAAUUCAGCACAUAUCAGUGACAGAGAGUUGCGUGUGAUUUCAUCUUAUGAUUUCAAACCGUGGGAUGAAAUCCCAAAUUCUCCAAAAAGCUUGAUUUGAGAAUUUCAUAUCAUGAUUUCAUAUUUUUUAAAUACAAACAUCGACCCACAAGUUUAUAUUUUGUAAAAAGAAAAUCCACCAUUUUAUAUCCACAUAUUUUUUUGUGAGAAUACCAAAGGAGCGAUAAAAUAUUCACGAAAUAUAAGCAUGAUGAUAUGAUUAUUAAUAAUAUUGACCAACAAGCGGCUCAAUAAAUAUAGUAAACUACAAGUUUAUAGCUCUUGCUCAGUUUAUUUUUUUAAGAACUAAAAUUCGAUCAAUAAAUAUUGUAUUUUUUUUAGAAUAACUUUGUGAUAAUCUAUUAUACUUUUGUUCUGAACUUUUGCUUAUUUGGUAAGAUGGUAUAAAGAAUUGAGACAAUUUUGAUAGUUUUUAAUUACAGCUUAUAAAGCUAUUGUAUUUAUGAGCAAAAAUACAACUUAAAAGAUCCAAAUUGCAUGUCGAAACAAAAACUUCAACUGCAUCUCAUAUGACUUCAUAUCAUAUGAUUAUAUCAUCUCACAUGGCUAAACGAACCCUUAAAUUUCAGUCGAACCAAUGAAUAUCCUUCAACUGCUCUAAACAUAAUUGUGUAUUUUGCUUGUGUGGGUAAGUCAAGAAUUCAACUUCUUGACAUUCUCUUGGUGUGUGUCUCACACAAUUGAAAAUGAGAAUGCAAUAGUCCAUCAAUUGUCUCACAAAAUAACACCUGGAAACAUUAAGUCAAUAAGAAUUGAUGGUGUAUGUACCACAAAUUAUAGUAAAUUAUAGUUGAAAAUAAAAUGAAUAGUAUCUCGCUCUCUUUAUGGAGAUUUAAACCCACUGCGACAUAAACUACACCGAUCCAACAGUAUAACUCUUGACUUUCUCCCUCCAUGAUACAAUAACAUAACAACGUCAUAUAAUUCAAACUCCAGAUUAGUUGAAGAGUCCAAAACUCCACAAAAGAACGUACACCUUCCUUCAAUAUAAAAUUAAUCUCUUUUGUAUAGUGAAUUAGUUGAAGAGUUAGAAUAUUCUUCUUUGUCUCAACUCUCUCCUUCAGUACUCUAACCUCAACCUCAACGUACAAACACAUUAUACUACUUCUCAUCUUUGUCCUAAAUACAAUGUAGGACCUCCACUAUUUUACAGGUGAAGAAUUCUUUCUUGCAAUACAUAGGAAGAAUGUGGGUAAAUGAAUAGAGGAAAUUAUGCCUUAAAAGUUACAUGAGUAAAUUAUGGGUGAAAUAAUGUGUUAGCGAUUACAAUGGUUUUAAGGCAAAUAAAGACCACAUUAUGCUACAAAAAACAUUGGAAAUUUGAAGCAUCAAAAGAUACUUAACUAUGCAGCACUUCUUUACCCCUCAAUAUCAAACACUUCAAUUGUAUGAUAAUGAAGCCUACUUGUUUGAAUGCUUUCGAUAUCAUUUCUCUACUCCUAGUUUUGAUCUCUCUAUCUUGUUCCAGAAAGAUAAGAGCCGUAUAGGUCGAUUUAAGUUAACAGAGUUUUGGAAAACAUAGUUUGUUAUUUGCCUUUCUCAAUUAUAUUAAAUAGGUGUUUACUCUACUUUGAGACAUCAUAAAAGAAGAUACACAUCUUAGAUUUAUUUGUUGAUAAUCAGGCUAUCCUCGGAUUCUUCCUUAUUGAUAUUAAUGAGGUGGGCGGGAAGGAUAGUGUCUAAUAUGGAUACAUAUAUUUCCCUUGUACCUGACCUUUCUGAGUUGACACUCACAAGUGAACAAAGAGGUGGAUCAUCUAUGUCAUCUCAAUAUUCAUUUUGUCAGGUACCUGAAUCAAACGAUUUUGAGGAAUUUGCUUUUAACAUUCAUUCUACUGGACCAAAACGAGGACUUUCCGUGCUAGUUGUCAGUUUGAUAUCCAAGUGUUGAAACCACUCAUUUUAGAUUAGAUAAAUUUUCCAAGUUAUGUGCGGCAUGAAUAUGACUGAUGUCGUCAAUGCAAUUAUUAAUAACAGCCCUCGAAGACUUGAGCAAGUGUGGAAGGGAAAUUGUGAGAUUUAUUGAAACCAACCAGUAUUCCAAAACAGAAUCAUGCACAAAUCAAGUGUGCUAAAAUAAAAACCAAAAAAAAAACAAUCCUUACAUGAAUCCAACAAUUUAGUAAACAUUUGCAACAAAUAAGUGAUUCCGAGAACGUUGAUCAGCAUGCAAGAAGUUGAAUCUUGAUCUUUUGUAGCAUCCCUACAACAUCUUUCAUGUUUGUCCUUCUUGCCGGAGAUUCAGCACAACAAUCUAAUGCCACUUUCAUGAUUGAAGACACAACAUCUAGCUCCUUCUGUAAGCGAUUAUCCAUUGAUGUUACCAAGUUGGCAUCUACAACAUCCAUUACUGCCUCUGGGAAUGAAUAACUAACCCAUUGCUUCAAGCUAAGAUCUCCCUCAAACUCAUUAGGCUUUCUCCUAGUAAACAUCUCCAACAACAUGAUCCCGUAACUAUAGACAUCACAUUUUAUAGACACCAAUCCAUCCAGUCCGUACUCUAUAAACAAACAAUUAGUUUGAAGAUUUAACAUAAUUUCUUGGUGAAAAAGAAAAAGAAAGGAAAAAUCAGCAAAACAAAGAGACGUACCUGGUGCAAUAUAACCCAAUGUUGCUAAGGUUUUAGUAUAUAAAUCACUCUCAUCUUCACCAAGCAGUUUUGAAAUACCAAAGUCGCUUAGGUGGGCAACCAUAUCCUCAUCCAGCAAGACGUUACUAGGCUUCAGAUCACAAUGAAUCACAGGUAACGAGCACCCAUGAUGGAGAUAUUCCAAUGCACAUGCCACAUCUAUCAUAAUGCUUAGUCUCUGCCUGAUGUCUAGGAAGUAGUUGUGCGAAUACAAAUAUUUGUCAAGACUUCCAUUAGGCAUAUACUCGAGCACUAAAGCCUUAAAAUCAAGGUUGGAACAACUAGUGAUGACUUUCACAAGAUUCCUAUGGCAAAGGCUGCGCAAAACUUCACAUUCUAUAUCAAAACUCUUGAAUGCCGCUUCCAGUUGCAGAUUGAACACUUUAACUGCAAUGGCAGUCCCACUUGCAAUAUGAGUUCCACUUCUGAGAAUGCCUUUGUAGACAGAGCCAAAACUUCCAGAACCAAUCAGAUUACUCUCGCUAAGAGAAUCAGUUGCUUGGAGCAGUUCAUAGUAUGAAAUUCUUUCUGUUGUUGCCAUAGACAAUGAAUCAGCUUGUUGAGGAGCUCUUUUACCUCUUCUAUACCUUAUCCACAGGAACACAAAGGCGAUAGGAACCAAUACAAUUGCUAUUCCUAGCAAAAGAAAUAGAACUAGCAAUUUUUUCCUAUUUGAUCUUUGCGUUGAUGAAGUGGGGCAUGGCGGGACAUUAAACCUUGACAAACCACACAAUGCUUCGUUGUUGAUGAAAAAUUGACUCGAGAGGUUCUUGAAAGGACCCCCGAGGGUAUUUCACCAUGCAACUUAUUGUCAGAAACAUUAAAAUACUUGAGAUAUUGAAGUUUCUGCAAAGACAUGGGAAUAGUUCCCGAUAUAUUAUUAUGAGAAAUGUCUAGAAAUUCCAAACCUACCAUGUUGCUCAUUGAGUCGGGUAUAGAUCCUUGUAACUUGUUGUGUCUCAAAGAAAGGUGCACCAGAUUUUGUAAUCCUCCAAUUUCUCUAGGAAUUCCAUUUGAGAAUUGAUUCAUCGAUAGGUCUAUCUGGUUCGCAGCCUUUUGAUUUCCAAUUUCUGGAGGUAAAGAGCCAACCAUAUUGUUUGAUGAUAAGUCAAGAACCAUUAGAUCUUUAAGAUUUCCUAAGCUUGUUGGUAAAUUGGAACUCAAUUUAUUGGAAUCCAUAUAUAUCUCUCUAAGGGAAGUAACGUUCCCUAAACAAUUAGGAAGUGCAGCUGAAAGUUGAUUUUGACCCAAGGAAAUAACACCCACAUGUUGCAAUUUACAAAGAUUAUCUCCAAUAAAUCCUGUAAGUUUGUUGAUGUUCAAGUACAAGCGUUGAAGGUUUCUCAAGUUCUGAAUUGAUGUAGGAAUUGAUCCAAUCAAGUUAUUAUUAGAAAGAUCAAGGUCUAUUAAAUUGGUUAAGUUUCCAACUUCAUUUGGAAUCUGGCCGUUAAUCUUACAAGUAAUGGCAUAAAAUUGUAUAAGAGAUAUGGAGAAGUUCCCUACGGAGACCGGAAACAUGCCAUUUAGAGGGUUGAAAGAUAGAGAAAGAAAUCUUAAAUUUCUGCAAUUGGUUAAGGAAGUCAGGAAGCUUAAAAUUGAAUCACUGCUUAAAUUGUUUAUCCCCAAGUUUAGGAAGUGUAGAUGAGUCAAAUAUCCAAGAGAAUUGGGUAUUAAGCCUGUGAGUUUGUUUCGUGAAAGAUCUAGAUCAGUAAGCUUUGAACAAUUGGAGAUAGAAUGAGGAAUAGUCCCAAAAAGAUUGGUUAAGCUAUUCAGAUAAAGCUGUUCAAUGUUAGGUAAGGUUGAACCUAUUUUUGAUGGUAGAGUUCCUGAUAGAUUAUUGAAUGAAAGAGUAUAUAGCUCUUCAAUGUUGGGUAAGGUAGAACUUAUGUUUAGUGGGAGGGUUCCUGAUAGAUUAUUGGCUGAAAGAUCAAUUAUUGUCAGUCGUGAUAUGUUGAAGAUCUCCAGUGGAAGUGAACCACUAAAACUAUUAAACUCAAGAUUAAGUACCUCCAAGUCAACGAGAUUUCUUAUCUCUUUGGGUAUUUCACCUGUCAACACAUGAAUACUAGUGAAUUUAGUUCAAUACAGUGUAAGUUAUACUUUUGGUUAUCACUUUGAAUACGUACCAGUGAACCUAUUUUCGGGAAGAUAUAAAACUUGCAUCUUGGUCAAGUUAGCAAUCUCCCGUGGUAAGGAUCCCUUGAGAUUGUUCCCCCUUAGUGAAACAAGUUGCAACGAUGAGAUAUUGAAUAUGGAGACCGGGAUAGAGCCGGUAAUCUGGUUUUUCUCCAUUGUUAACUCCACCAAAUUAACAAGAUUUCCGAUUUCUUGUGGAAUUAUCCCUGCAUUUAAUGUGUUAAUAAAAACUAUCUGAGGUAAUUAGAUACAAUAGUACUAGCUGUCAUAAGAUAAAACAUACCUGUGAAAUGGUUGGAUCCAAGAUACAAUCCUUGCAAGUUACUCAAUCUUCCAAUUUCACUAUGUAUUCGCCCAUCAAAAUUAUUUUGGGAUAGAGACAAUAUUUGAAGUUGUGAACAAUUUGACAAGCUAGCUUGUAGGCAUAUGACUAUGAAGCAUGUUUAUUGAUAGAUCAAGCUCUUUGAGUAUUGGGAGACCAUUGCAUAAACCAUUCGGAAGAUUCCCUGAUAAGCUAUUGUUUGUAAAUCCAAUGGCUUCGAUUCUAGAGAUAUUGAAAAUUGUGAGUGGUAUAGAACCCGUAAGCUGAUUAUGUUGUAUGGACAAGUAGUUCAUGUAGUGAAGGUUGCCAAUCUCUUCCGGAAUAGAACCUAUGAAUUUGUUUCCAUCCAAGUUUAAAACUCUCAAGUUUUCAAGACUUCCAAUCACUUUUGGGAUUUGACCCUCUAUUGAAUUGAAUCUCAGAUUCAAAGUUUCAAGUGUGGAAAUAUUAGAAAUGGAACAAGGGAUUGAACCAGUGAAACUAUUAUUUCCAAGAUUUAAAACUUGAAGUUGGUGUAAAAACCCAAACCAAGAAGGAACCUCCCCUCUAAAGUUGUUCAAACUUAAAUCAAGAAACUUAAGCCGACGCAAGUGUGCUAUUUCUUUAGGCAAAUUUCCAUGCAAAUUGUUGCUUCUCAAGUCCAGAGAAACAAGAAAUGUGAAGUUUCCAAAAUCACGGGGGAUCCUUCCUGUAAGAGCCAUGUUGGAAAGAUUCAAGGACUUCACUCGCUGGUAACGAGAGUCACAUGUGAUACCUAUCCAAUGGCAAACAGAAGUAGUGGGAGACCAACUAUCAUCUAAGAAGUGAAAGGGGUCUGAAAUGAUUUGAGAUUUUAAAGAAAGAAGAGUUGAUUGAUCAGUGGUAAUGUUAGUUUGGGUCAUGGCUGAACUAGCCAUAACAUACUGAAGCAACAAGAGAAAAGAGGUUAAUAUUUUCUCCAUAAUUGCAUAAGUUAGUAAGAAAAUUGAAUGGCUAGUAACCUAUGGUUUUGAGACUUUAAAUAGUGAUAAUUUUAUUGUUCCCCAAUUUAAUUUAUUUUCCAGUUUAAUUAUGUAGGGCCUAAGGACUUGACCAAUUGAAACAAAACCAAAUAUUACAAACUGUGAUUGUGGUGUUAACAUGUUUUACACAAAUUCAUGGGAAACCAUGUUAACACCACAAUCACAGUUUGCAAGAUUUGGUUAACACAAACUGUAAUUGUGGUGUUAACACAAUUUUACACAAAUAAUUAAAAUUGUCGAUAAAAAUAUAACACUGAAUCUUGACUUAGUUUCUGACGUCCGUAAUUCCACGCAUAUCAAAGACAUAAUUUUAAUUGGUUUUAAAUUCUAGGCUAGUGACAUCUGGUGUUGAUUAUGACCGGUUUCUAUCGUUAGUGAAUUUUUAAAUAUAAAUAUUGAAUUUGGACUAAAUCCGUGGGAACGCAUACUAAAGUCUGGACACAAAUGUGUGUUUUGCCUGUGUGGGCAAGUGAAGAAUUCAACUUCUUGACAUUCUCAUGGUAUGUGUCUCACAUUAUUGAAAAUGAGAAUGCAAUAGUCACAAUAUCCAAUAUUAAUUGAUAUAUAGUGUUAGGUUUUGAAAGAUGAUUUGGGAAAUAAGUAACUAAUGGAGAGGGUAAAAUAUAUAUUUAUUUGCCUUGGUUAGGAAGCUUCUCAAGAGUUUCAUCGAGAAUUUGUUUUUCACUAUGCAGUGAGUUGAUCAUUGAUUCACGGUGGAAAACUAGUAGUGUUUAGUCUUGAACUGCAUCGGAAAGGGCUAGCUUGGCUAGUUGACUAUUCCACAUCGUGAACUGCAUCGAAAAGGGCAUACACUCUCUGUUUUUAUGGGUUGUUUCGUGGUAUUUGACAUUUCCAAGUUGUCCCUCACAAGCAAACAAAGAGGUGAAUCAUUUGAUCUUGAAAUAGGUCAUCUCAUGCUAUCUCGAUCUUUUUAUCUAUUCAAAAAUCAUAUGUUUUAAGGAUUUUACUUUUCACGUUCAUUCUAUACAACCAAAAUGAGGCCUUUCCUUGCUAUUUUGAAUAAAAACAUCACCAACUACCCUCAAUUCUAAGUAUAAAAUAACCCAAUAAAAUAUAAAAGAAUUUAUAACUACAAAAUGCCUACUAUAAAUUUCCAGUGAAAAUGUCUACUUUGAUUGCGAUCCACCAAUUUGCAACAUUGACUGAAAAAUGUGACAAGUAAAGUGGUCAAUAUAGAGUAUCUCUUUCCGCAGAUUAAUUGAACUCCCUUUGUCUCAUUUUAACUAUUGUUUUAGCUUUUUUUGCGCCCAUUAAGUAAAAACAGAUAUUUCCUUUGUUUUCUUCUGCAUUUUGAGUUCUCGGGACGCGAUGGGACAAGAACAAGUUAUUUUUCAAUUGCAGGAGCUGAAAAGUGGUUAUUUGUUGAAUUUUAGCGAAUGAUUUUCCCUUUGUUGUUUCAAGCACUCACUCAGGUAUGAAACUCAACGAAUUUCUGCAAAUUGUUAACUCUAAAGUGUUUGCAUGAGUGAUUAUUUUCUUAAUGCAUAAUUCUGAUUGUUGGUUUAAAAUAGAGGAUUUUCUCUUGUUCUGCCGCAAUUACAUUUUGAUUUGAAUCACUGGAAGGAGCACUCAUGAUGUAGAUAUUCCAACGCACGUUCCUCAUCCAUCAUAAUGCUUAGUCUCUGCAUGAUGUCUAAGAAGUAGUUGUGUGAAUACAGCCACUUAUCGAGGCUCCCAUUAGGCACGCAUGUACUCAAGUACUAAAGCCUUAAAAUCAAGGUUGGAACAUCUAGUGAUGCUUCAUUGUCGAUGAAAAACUGACUUGUGAGGUUCUUGAAAGGGCCCCGAGGGUAUUUCACCGUGCAACUUGUUGAUAGAAACAUUGAAUUCUUUUACUGUAUUUUUUUCCUUCGAAUUUACCACUAGACUGCGUGUCUAGUGGUCUUUUAUUAAUAAUAAAUUAAAAAUCCUUCAUUGGGACAAGUACAACAAGGAAGGGGGAUUAGACUUUACCUUACCAAUCUUAAUGAGGUUAAGAACUAUUUUUAACAACCAUGAAGAAAAUAAGAGCUAGAGAGAAUUAGAUGUUCUAUGACCAUUGUAGAGUUUAUUAAUAUUACAUACGAGGAUGCUUCAGUAAUGCAAAAUUAUAAAAGUCAAGAAGAAAGUAAAGUCAUCAACCUCAAACUUCCUUCUACAAAUGGAUGACCUAAACAAGACAAAUUAGUUUUCUAAAGUAACCUGGAGUAAUUUUCUCUUGUCUUCUUCAAAUUUAUCCAAUAGCUCUUGAUAGUUCAUCACUUUUUCUUCGGUUUAUUGGAUAUUGUUGACACUAUCAUGUGAUUUUGUUUUGUCAGUCGCAUCGGUAAGUGCCUUGAAACAAAUUCCUCAGUCAUCUUACCACCCCAACUAGUCUUUCUUUCAUGCUUCUUUUUGUUAUUGCGGUGUUGCCUAGAAGAAAUAUCUGCAUUUUUAGCCGCAUUUGCAAAACAAUGAUCCAACACAUCCUCUUCUUCACUUUCCUCAAAGAUGUCCUCAUCUUGUAGCCUGUAGGUUAUCAAAUCUAUUUGGAGAGAAAUGACUACUACCACCAACUUGUAGUUGUUUUUUUAGUGUUAAUAGAUGUUAGAAAAGUAAAUUUUUCAACAUCAGAACUCACCAAAUGAUCACUUAAAAUUGCAGCAACAUCAGUUGAUGGCCAAUCUAUCCCAUGCCUAACUGAUUUGGCAUUUCUAGUACAAAAAAAUUGGAGCUGCAGGGCACAAUUUUCUGUGCAUAGGAGGAGAAGCGACCCACUGUUCCUCUUCGUUUACUAUAUAUGCCCAACUCAAAGCACUUGUCGCAUCUUAUUGUUCCUUAUUAGAAACGGGGGUGCAACUAAAGCUUGAUCAAUUGCACUAGCAUCAGUCAACCUAGCGUGCUCUUCACCUACAUUUUCACCCGGCUUAGCAGCAACCGUAGCCAACUGAUCCCUUUGGACAUCACCUUUUGAUUGAACUUGAACCACUAAAUCAUGCUCAUAACCAUCAGAAGUAACACCUCUGUUUCCAGUAUUUAUUUGUUGCGAAAAAUUCCUUUGUUGGUUAGGACUAGAAGCGUUUUUUUUCGCCACCAACCUUUUUAGAUUAUGCAUGAGCUGCAGUUUCAAGUUGUUCCUUACCAGCCCUUGUUCCUUCAUUUAAUUGUUUUUCAUAAUUGUUCUUCGACAAAGUCAAAUCGAAGCCUUUCCAUGCUAGUUGUCAGUUUGAUAUCCAAGUGUUGUACCACUCAUUUUAGAUAAGUAGAUAAAUUUGACUUGAGCAAGUGUGGAAGGGAAAUUGUGAGAUUUAUUGAAACCAACCAGUAUUCCAAAACAGAAUCAUGCACAAAUCAAAUGCUAAAACAAAACAAAAAAAAACAAUCCUUACAUGAAUCCAAUAAUUUAGUAAAGGCAUAAUACAUAUAUUGACCCCUAAACUUGGUUUCAAAUUUUAACUUGACCUCCAACUUUCACAAUGCACAAAUAGGCACUUUAACUAUCCAAAACUUAAACAAAAAACAACUCGGAUCCUACCUGGCAAAAUAGCGUGAAAUACACUCAAAUUAGGCGCGUCAGAUGUAAAAAAUUCAGGGGGGUCAACAGUAAAAAAAAAGCAUUGAAAGGACAAUUAAACCCUUUUUAUAUUUUUUUCAACAAUUUUCCCCUCUUUUUUGCAUUAUUUGUUGUUCCAUUUAAUAAAAUUUUUGUUAUUACGAAAAAAAUUAUAAUGAAGUUUUUUUUUUGGCAAGAAGGAAAAAGGAACACGUGUAGUACUUAAAUUUUUUUUUUGAGAUUCAAUCAAUUUUUUUUGUCUUUGAAAUAUUUCUAGCUGUUAAUUACUGUAAUUUAUAGUACUUUCUAAGAAAUUUUCAAAUAAUAUAUAUUAUUUCAUUUGUCUGAAUUUAUGCGUCACCGGUAAAAUUUGAAGAGUCAAUCAGAUCUUUUAUAUAUUUUUAUAUCUUUUAAAUAUUUAAGUAAUUAAUUAUCGUGAUUUAUAAUAUUUUAUACAAUUAUUUAGUAUGGUAAAGGAAAUUUAAAAGAAACACGCAUCAUUCAAUAGUAAAAUAUGGGUCCCCAUUUUUUUUUAUAGGUUGACCUCCUGCCUGUAUAGUCUUUUUUUGUCCAGAAGGAAAAAGGAACACGUGUCGACCCCAAGGUCCUCUCUAUUCCCGCUUAUUAUAUUAUAUACUAGUGAUGAAAGAGCCCGUGCUAAUAAUUAAUUUAAAAGUUAAUUUUUAAUUGACGUUAAAUAAAUAGUUUUAAAUUUUAAAUUUGAAUAAAUUAUAUAUAUUUAUAUGGUAGUAAACGUUCAUGUUAACUCUAAAAUGAAUACAUCACUAUUAAUAAAGCUUGAAGUUUAAAGAAAAAUCCUUAAAUGACCAAAAUAACCCUUAAACUCAAUUUUAAUCACAAAAAGCAUACAUGUCCACGGUGUGGUGGCUGAUUCAUCAACUAAUUUUUUGUAUGUUUUUUCAAAAAUAUUUUAGUUGCUAAUUUGUUAUAAUUUAUAAAAAUCAUUAACGUCAUUUUCGAAUAACUUAUAGUAAGUUAACUUUCAAUAAUAUAUAUUGUUCCAUCUAUUCAAAUUCAUGUGUCACCAAUAGAAUUUCAAGAGUCAACAAAAAAUUUUCUAAAAAAAAUAUAUUUUAAUUAUGAUUUAUAGUACUUUUAAAUAUAACGUAUAGUGUGUUUGUAGGCUCUUAUUAGAUUGAAAAAAUAUUUUAAAUUAGUAAUUAUUGUAAUUAAUAGUGUAUAUUACGUAAUUUUCAAAUUUGUAAUAAAUUUUUUUAAAUAUUAAGUCUAAUAAUUUAUAGUAUCUUAAAUGUAAUCUUUGAAUACACAUAAAUUAAAAAAAGAAAUAAGACAAAUAAAUUAUAAAUUGAAUAAUUGACAUUUUCAAAUAUUAAUUUACCACAAAAUGAAAGUGAAGGAAGAAGUUGUGAGGCAAAAAUAAAGAGAAAGGAAUGGAAUUAGUGAGGUGGGGUCCAUAUCCAUUAAAAGAGAUUGAAAUAAAUGCAUGGCAAAUUGAAAAGGUGUCAAAUAGACAGGAAAACGGGCCCACAUGCAUUGAAUAGUUGGCAGCCAUUGAGUGGGUCACUAAUACACGUGGCAGCGUUUGCAUUUCACGCUUUUGGCUCCGAAAAUCGCGUGUUUAUUUAUUUAAAGGUAGGAUAGUUAAAGUGCCUAUUUGUGCAUUGUGAAAGUUGGAGGUCAAAGUUAAAAUUUGAAGCCAAGUUUAGGGGCCAAUAUAUGUAUUAUGCCUUUAGUAAACAUUUCCAACAAAUAAGUGAUUUGGAACAAGAGAUUCCGAGAACGUUGAUCAGCAUGCAAGAAGUUGAAUCUUGAUCUUCUGUAGCAUCCCUACAACAUCUUUCAUGUUUGUCCUUCUUGCCGGAGAUUCAACACAAUAAUCUAAUGCCACUUUCAUGAUUGAAGACAACAUCUAGCUCCUUCCGUAAGCGACUAUCCGUUGAUGUUAUCAAGUUGGCAUCUACAACAUCCAUUACUGCCUCUGGGAAUGAAUAACUCACCCAUUGCUUCAAGCUAAGAUCUCCCUCAAACUCAUUAGGCUUUCUCCUAGUAAAUGUUUCCAGCAACAUGAUCCCGUAACUAUAGACGUCACAUUUUAUAGACACCAAUCCAUCCAGUCCA
This 46570-nucleotide long non-coding RNA is filed under the name Solanum tuberosum (potato). RNAcentral describes it as "long non-coding RNA (STUB_LNC003321)". Lineage: Eukaryota; Viridiplantae; Streptophyta; Magnoliopsida; Solanales; Solanaceae. The record is from RNAcentral.